UUUUUUUUUUUUUUUUAUCUUAUUACAUCAGUUUUACACCUCACACACAUAUAUUUUUUUCUUUUGAUUUCAGUAUGAUUCUUAUGCCUCUAUACGAGUGUUCAUCUAUCUUUCUAUUGAUUUUAUCUUAUGAGAAACAAGUGUGGUUAUAUUUUGAAAAGAUCAAGCUAGUUUGAUUUCAUUACGAUUGUUCAUAUAUCUUAUAGAUAAACUAAUCAAGCAUUUUGAUUUUAAAUCUUAAAUCUUUUAAUUUCACUAUGAUUGUUUAUAGAUCUUAUAGACAUAACCAAAUGUUAUGAGAAUUGUUUUUGGGUAUAUUAGCAUUCAGAUCUUCUUUUAAUUAACAAAAACACGAAACUUUAAAACAAAAAAAAAUUGGAUUUUUGAUAAAUAGCAAACAAAGAUAGCUUUUGAAAAAUACGCGGACAUCGGUUUUUAACGGUUUCUGGUUUAAUUUAUACUUGAAAUGUUAUCUUACCUUUUAGAUACUUGAUAUCAAAUUAUCAUGUUAUAUAUUUAUAUUAGAUGUGAAGGUUAAUUUUGUGGUUUGAUUUUGUGGUAGAAACUUAGAAGAGACCGAAACAAAGAUGGAUAAUGAGAUGAGGAAGCUGUACUCUUGUUUCAUCUGUACCAAUUUGCUUGAUGAAGCAACUGCCCUAAGGAAAUGUCGCCACAUAUGUAAGCUCCUCAAUUCCCUAUAAUGAUAUUGUUUUGAUUCAUUUAGGCUUUUGGAUUUGAAUGGUGCUUAAGUACUUUGGUAUCAUUUGUUUUGUUAUCUUCUGAGUUAUUUUCUUAUUUCUCGAGUCCACUGUUUUAUUGAGUUUUGUCUUAAAACCUUGGUUUGGUCCUUCAACAAAAACAAUAAAACGUUUUCAUAAUUGGAAUUAGUAUAAGUUUAUGGCUUGAAAUUAUUCUAAUUACUAGAAUUAAUUGGUGUGAAUCAUUUGUUUACAUUUCAUAUUUAAUCUUGUUUAUAUCCAAUACUAGAAUCAUUUCUUUUUUGAUAUCUUCGAGUCAAGUUUUUUUAUAUAGCAAACAAAGAUGUUUGUUUUUAAAAAGCGCGGGCAUCGGUUUUUAACAGUUUCUACUUCAAUUUAAAUUUGAAAUGUAAUCUUACCUUUUAAAUACUAAAUAUCAAAUUAUCAUGUUAUAUGUGUAUACUAGAAAACAUUUGUUUCUUAUGUUUAUCUUUAUAUACAUUUAUUUUUCGAUAUCUUCAACUAAAGUUUUUUUUAAUGCGAAAUCUCUUUGUAUAAACAGUGUGCGGGAAAUGCAUUCAUGACUGGCGCUGUUGUCCAAUCUGCUAUGCUGGUCCGGACCUUCUCAUGAGCCUAAGGUAUGCACUAUAUGAACGUAUUUAACAUUUUGUUUUAUAUUACUAGUUCUUUGUUUCUUUGUGCUGUUCUAUUAAAACAUUUGCUACAUUGUUUUAAUAUUAUAUGUUAAUACGAAUGACAGCCAUGAAGAGCCUCUGUUACUAUCAAGGGAAAGGGAGAACAUACCUUCAGCAGAUGAUGAAAAUGUGAAGGCAGAUUCAGAUGUAGAUUGGUACACUGAGGAAUCUGAGACUUCUGAUGAUGAUGAUGAUGAUACAGACUCUGAUAUGGAGGUGGAUGAGCAGGUGGGGUUAGAGGAGUCUGUUCCUGUUGAAACUAGGGAAGAGGAACAUGUUAUGGACAAUGCAAAUCCACCCUUGGGAGUUCAGAAAAUUGAGGAUGCACUAUUGGAUUAUCAUAGGAUUGUGGACAAGGAUGAGGAAGAGAGGGUUAAUUUGGAAAAUGCUGAAAGGCUAUUGGCUUUAAGUGUUGAAAAAGGUAGAAGAAAAAGGCCAAUGGAAGAUGCUUUCCCAUUGCUCAGUUGCUUACCUCCCAGUAAGCGCCUAGCCCCAGAAGCAAAAGAACAGGUUGGCGACGAACACAUCCCGGGGAACCCAGGAUAUGGAGAAGGGAGGACCGGGUGGUUCAAAACCACCAAACCCAGCGGUUAACAAAUGAAAUUUCUAAGUUGGAAUUGUUGAGGACUGGGGAAUAAGGCGAUGGUUGGGUAUUUAUGGGACUUGUGGAAGCUACAUCGGCUAGACCUUUAUAGAAACAAAACAAUCUUCUUCUUUUUUAGAAAAAUUUAAAUGUCAUUUUGUUUAUGAUAAUUUAAUUAUUGUUGAACCUUUUGGUUAUAGUGGCGUUUAGCCCUAUUUUAUAAUUAUAAUGAUUUUAAUGUUUCAAUUUUAUUUGAGAGCAGUCAGUUAAUUGACAUUGAAACUAACUUCAAAGGUAAAAAAAUUAACUUAACCUUUGUCUAUGGUGAUUCGGUUCCAAGGAAUAGGAGACAAGUAUGGGAAAAAUUAACUCGACUUGGAUUAGUUAGGACACACCUUGGUUCCUUAUAAGAGAUUUUAAUGAAGUAAGGGGAAACCAUAAAAAAUGAGGGGGUGUGUUAAGAUAUGCCUCUUCUUUUAUUCUUUUUAAUCAAAUGGUACAUGAUUGUGGACUUCUUUAAUUCCCCCUCCUAGGUGAUUUUUUAAAUCUUGGCAUGGUUGGCAUGAUAAGAAACUUAUUCGCUAUCGGUUAAACAGGACACAUACAAAUGGGGAUUGGCAUGAGCUGUUUAGCCAAUCUUUGUAGGCGAUGAAGUGUAUAAUGGAAGCAACCAAAAGAGAUGUGGUUUUCAUUACAAACCUUUUAGACUUGGUGAAGAUGGUGACUUGUCCAGCGGAGUGUCGAGCUUUUGUAACAUACAAAACCUAGAAGAAAUUCAAAAUGACAAAAUAAAUUUCUCCACUUAUAAACUAAUUCUAGUUUCUCAUCAAGAUAAUGUCAAAAGCGGAUAAUUUUUCACGUAAGAUACGUAAUGAACCGCAACUAAGUAUGUAUGUAAACAAUAAUCCUACAAACUGGCUCAUUUGAUUCAAUUUUAUAUAUAUAGUUGUUGACAAAAAAUAGACUAUGCUAAAGAGAUGGACUCAUGAAAGUAACGACAGAGAGCUAUGAAGUUACUCUGCAAGACCAUAUUUUCUAUUUUUAAGUAUUUUGCGAAUGAGACUUAGAGACCACCUCUUCUUUGCUUGGCUGAAUAUUUUGGAUGAAUAUUUGUGAACCGCUGCUUAGACUUCGCAUCCUCUAGUUAGUCUUGUUGACCAUACGGUUAUUACGACUCUUUAAUUCAAAGUCAUGACGUACACGAACACGAGCAUCACCCCCCAGCCAGGUUGACUCAAUGUUCCUUGGUCUUUAGGGUUAAACAUCUGCUUAUAUAUGUAAUGUAUACACAACCACAAAAAAAAAAACAUAACAUCCUUUGUCGUUGCACUAAUUGAACAUUUUAACAGGCUGCACCGUUAUAUCAAAACAAGCUGCCCAAUACGUGGGAGUGGGGUGUUACAGGAUUACUUGGUUAUAAGAAAACUGAUACAUAAAAUGUUUAGGUACGACAGCUCAAUAAAAUGUUUUAAGCACCAAAAAGGUUUGGAAAAAAGAAUAUCUCUAAAAAAAAAAAAAAAUUAAUAGGAAACAAACGAAAGUAACUUUUGUAUAUAUCACAAUAUGUAACAUGUAAUCUUAUUGUUUAAAUGAUUAGUAAUCUUAAUCUUAACUACCAAAUAGGAAUCAGAGCUAAAAAUACAGAUAGUUUUCAUAACAAUAUAAGUGAAAUCUAAUAACAGUAAAAAUAUGUAAGGGAAAAAAUCUUUAUAAGAAAUGUAAUCAAAAAAUAUCUUUAGGUGGGACAGUUGUUCACAGUCCACACUUUUUACAAUUAAAUUUGAUUUACUUUGACUAUUUUUAAAAUUAUUACCUUAAAAUAAGAGUUCUAAUGGCAAUAAAUAUUUUCAUUUAAUAAUUAAUAAUAACUAAAAUGAGAAAUAAAUCUAAAAAAAUUUCUAGUCAAAUAUAGUUAUUCUAUUUUGUAGUAUAAAAUAAAUAGAUUUACUAGAGAGAUUUUAUUUUUGUUUUCUUGAUUCAGUCAAGUUCUUUAUUUUUUCUUGAUCAUUGAUACAUUAUAUAUUUUGGGGGCAAAGGAAAGAGAUCAUGCAUGUUUAAUUCAUGGUAAUUCUCUUAACGAUCUUAUGAUCUAGCUACACAUAUUUUCUUUCGAAAAAUUUCCAACGGCUUUUGCUCGUAAACUGUGUAUUUGAAAUUAGUCUUAUAUCAAAUAUUAGUGCAAAACCGUCUAAUUAGUAUUGCUAUUUUAAUUGUUUUCUCAUUUAUAUACAUUUUGAAGUCGUUAUGUUUGGUCCAGUAUUAAAUUUGAGUAGAAUAAUGUUGUUAAAAUUUAGAUGAUGAUUUUCUAAAACCCAAUUUUGUUUUCACAUGUUUCUAGUUUCUUACAUUUCAAAACGUUUUGCCUUCAAAGUUGUAACAAAUUUUCAUGCACAAACUCUAUUCAGAGUAAUCUAGGGAUCUAUUUUUUUAACAGAAAUAUUAUCUAUUCAAAUAUCCCUUUAAUUGAUUUGAAUAUUCUUUCUACACUGAGAUUUAUAGAUAAACCAUAUAUGUUUUACUUAGGAGAGAAACUGCUCAAAACAUGUGAAUCAUUAUUCAUGAGUUUAAGAUAAUAAUUAGAAAAUGUGGUCCAAAAAGAAAGAAAGAUAAUAUUUAGAAAUUAGUUAAUCAACUUUUUUUUGUUACAAUAUUUUUAAUUUUUAAUAAUUCAUUUUUAAUAUAUUGUAGAAUAUAAUAUAAGAGACAUCUAAUUCAUUAUGACAAUUGUUGUACAAAGAAUUGGUGCAGAUCGACGGAUCCAGAACGUAAAACAUCAUGAGAAAACUCUUGAAAGUAAAAGCGAUGGAUGUAGAGAAAUAUGAGGUAGAGGGGAUAUUGGAUUAUGCAUUCAACAAUCAACCUCCAUCUUCCCUUACAAUGCUUAUGACUUGAUAGCGUAAAAGAUAAAUCUCGGUUAGUUUUUUAUAUAUAGUUUUGCUUGAUAAUUUAGAUAGAAUUCAUCUUAAAAAAACAUAUAUAUAACAACAGUCCGGUUCAUUACUAAUUCACCAUAAAUGGGGUAUACAUCAACGUAGCGACAAAAUAAAUGCAUUUUAAGCUGAUGAAAGUAAAUUUACAUUCGAUGAAUAUACGACUUUGUUGUCAAAUAGUUAAAUUUGUCAUCAAUUAAUUAUAGAUAAUGCGUUAAAUUGAUGGUAAAAGUUUCCAACAAAUAACAAACAUAUUAAUUUGAUCAUUAAAUUGAUGGUAAUUUAUUUUUAAGUUUUUUUCAAAAUAGCAACAAUUUUGAGAUUAUAAUUGAGGUUUCAGGGUUUAAUAUUUCAACAUCAAUACAUCGUAAAGCUUAUAUCAUUAAUUUAUUAUAAUUACUUCCCUGUUAAUGGGUCUUAAAUUUUCAUCACUAGUGAAUGCCCUAUUAUUGUCUUAAUAAUCAUUAGAGAGAUAUUUAUUAUUUAGUCAUAGCUAUAGUAUUAAUGGUUACAUCGAAAUUGUUUCUUAUGAAAGAAAACUUUUCUAGAUUUGGGUUUCACACUUUUUACUUAAUUUGUCAAUUUAUCUCACUGUCUUCUUAUUUCACAUAAGCAAAAACACAUAAAAAUGUUUCGCACGUAUGAAUAACAAAUAACCAUAAUAGUCCAUAGUUGUGAGCAUACUGUUCCAUGGUAAAAAGCAUCAUUUUACAAAAAGUCAACAAAAGUUAUCUAGAGAAGAUAAUCUAGAUAACAAUAACCAAAGGUUUUAAGAAAAUUUGAAGAUUUAAAAGCUUUAUAUGUAUGUAGUAUAUAUAUCAAAAGAGCCAUACAUGUAAACCUCAAACUUGGUUAUCAUCGGAAUGUUAGUAGUCAUCUCUCAAACCUAGAAAAGGAAACAUACACAAAUCUGAGUAAAGGCUCCAAAAUUAGAUGAUAUGUCAGGAUAAAUGAGUAUUGUACUAAUUCCUUUACUUUUUUCUACUUAUCGAUGUGAUACCUUUAAGUUAGCUUUGUGUAACUUUCGUUUUUAACAGUUUAAGAGAUGGCUACUAAGAUUCUAGUGAUGACCAAGCUGGAAAUUUUACUUAUAUCUAUCUUUUGAUAUAUAUACUACAUAUACAGAGUUUUUAGAUCUUAAUUUGUCUUAAUACGUUUAGUUAAUUAUUCUCUAGGAAAGUACUAUGGUCUUGCUAGUUUUUGGCUUCUUGGGAAUGGAUGCUUUUUAGAAUGGAACAUUAUAGAUUAUAAUGCUUAUUUGUUCCCCCUAAGUGAAAGACCACAUAACGACGUCAUUUUUAAAUUAUAAAUAAGAUCAUAUUAAAUAACCUCUAACUGACCACUAACCUUUACUACUGUGUGGAAGCCCCCUUGACCGAAAGAUUGACAAAAUGCUAACUAUUUUUUCUAUACUAUCAGAUUCAAAUAUUAGAUAAUCUGAUUUAAUAACAAAUAUGCAAGUUUAUAGAGAUAAACUUACAGGAGAUGUCUAACAUUGUGCAAUUAGAACUAUUUAAUGUGUGCAUAUCGUGAUUGCACACAUUAAAGGUAUCCAUCAUGAAUAUGAAAAUAGAAGAGUCAUCUGUAAUGGAUCAUUGAAAGUAUCCAUAAGCAUGAAGAAUGAAAUGUUGCAGAGAAAAUACUGGUGUCUUUGGUGGAUCUAGUAGGAGCAUAAUAAAUUGUGCUUGUAAAAUAGUCUCUAUAACAGUUUUUAUAGUUUGCAUUGAGUAAUAUAUCUUGAUGUUAAAACAAAAAAAAACAUGUAAGACAUUUAUAAAAACUUAACACCACUAGAGCUAUGGAAAAUAUUGCUACUAUAUUAAACAAUAUGUCUUUGCGAUCGAUGGCAGGUUUAACAACUGAGAGAUCCAUGAGGAUUAUAUAUAUAUAUAUAUAUAUAUAUAUAUUAUGCAACAAACUAAUAAUAAUAAAACCAAAUUCUUUUUUCUCUCAUGUAUUAUCUUGAUAGUCUUUCAUGUAUUAUUGUUUCUAACACUAAACGUGGUUACUUACAUUACAUAGUUGCUGAUUUUAGGGGUUCUAACACAAUAAGUAUAUAAAUUUAUGAGCAUAUAUAACGUCCCUAACCAACAAAAAUUGAAGGUAGGACGUAUUUGUGAACUACUAUAUAAAACUCGAUAUAUGUAUUUGAAUUGACAUUUUAGAAGAUUUUAUGGAAUCUAGGAAAUUUAAGAUUGGGAGAUUUAAAGGAGCUUUUAGAUUAUUUUGGUGGAGUUGUAGAUUUUUUGUUUUAUGAAAAAGAAGAUUAGUUUGUCAUUUGGUGAGAUUUUAAGGAAAACGUUUGGGGUGAUUUUGUGAGAUUUGUAGAACAUAAAUAUAAAAAAUUGAGUUUACUCACUUAACUCACAACAGAUAAAUGAAGUCAGAUAAUCACUUUAUCAACACACAAACAAAGCUUCUUAACAAAUCUUGUAUAUUCUCAUGCAAUGUAUCCAACACGUAGACAUAGCUUAAGAUACAUUCAUAAUUAUAAGCUUGAAAUUUUAAAACAUCUUGAGCUGCAAAGCACAAUGGCUGAGAGGACUUAUAAAGAUUAUUAUAUAUUUUCAUUCUAAUUGCAUAUUAAAAGUCCCUUUUAAACCACGAUCGACUCUUCGUAAAAUCGUACCGCUGAUAGAUUUUAUGACACCAAUUUUUUUUUUUUUUGAAUAAUCAAAGAGGUUCUGGGCCGAAUCUCAUACAUCUCCUCAAGCCCAAAACCAAUACAUCUCUUCAGACCCGAAACCAAAACAUGUUAUUUAGUCUUGUCCCAAGAUAUUAUGUAUUAAGCAGCACUAUACAUACACAUGCUCACAUGUCUACAAGUAGAGUUUAACUUGAAAGCUAACUCUGUGAAUUAAGCACAACGAUUUGCUCAUAAGAACUAAAUUCACUUUUUGUGAGAGUUCAUAUCAUUUUUUAAUGGAUAUUUAAGUUUUAAAAGUGGUUAUUUACUAACCAACGCAACUCUCGAGUGUAUGGUUACUUUACUAACACUCUAUUUUCCGACCAAAAUCAGAGAGAAAAAACGUGAAUAAGAAGAGUGAAACACAAGAUCAAAGGUUGGAAAAACUUUGGUGAAAACAAAAGAAACAAAACAAAAAUGCCUAUUUGUUUAUAUAAUAUCUUAGCCUAGAAUAAGAAUGAACACUUUGAUUGUCAUAUCCUACAAAAGAUUUAGUAUAAUACAAAGCUUGAGUGAAAAGUAGAAAUACUUUUAAAAGAAAAUGCUUCUGAAUACGAUUCGAUCAUUAUCUAACUUCACUAUAAGUUACCAUCCCGGAACUACACCGAAUUUACAACAUUUUUCCGACCUACACACUUUUGUUUACGGAACUAAAAUUAUAACACAACACUACUUCGUCAAAGGAAAUCAUAUCAUGUAUGAAGUUUGAAUAAAAAUAAUAAUACUGACAAAAAAAAUAGUCAAAUUUCUUUUAUAUAAGAAUUCCAUAAACUAACAGUUACGAAUAGAGACAGAUAUUUAUAUAUACAUUCCAUAAAUGUCUUUUGUUUGUUAAGCAUUUUUCUUGUGAUAUUUAGAAGAAAACAAAAAGUAAAAAGUGCAAAAAAGGUAAAAUAUGAAGAAAUCUAUAUUUUUUUAGCUGUAUAAAAAAUUCUUUGCUGGAAUAAUUACGUUAUAUUUUACUAAAAAUGAGCAUUGGGUCCAUUGCUCCUUAUCUUGAAUAUAUAGCAUUUUUGAACAAAAUGAUUUAUUACAUUUUAACUUAAAUGGAUAUAUUAUUAAUGCAAUUUAGGCCUACAUUUGUAGGAAAAUUAAAAUAAUAUACCUUUUUGUUAAUUUAGUUAAAAUAUGAGGCAUUUCUAAAAUAAAUAAAAAAGAUUAAAAUUACAAUUUGACACUAUAUAUAUCCUUGUUACAUAUGAGGAUAGACAUAUAGAUUUGUAAGGCAUAGGUGAGUUCUUUUCUUAUCUUGUAGAUUUGUAAGAACUUCUGUUUUUUUUUUCUCAUCUUUUUUUUUUUCCUUUUUUACUGUAUUGCAAUGAUUUAUCUUAUUACAUCAGUUUCGCACCUCACACACAUAUACUUUUCUCUUUUUAUUUCAGUAUGAUUCUUACGUCUAUAUACGAUUGUUCAUCUAUCUUUCUUUUGAUUUCAUCACUAUGAUUGUUCAUAUAUCUUAUAGAUAAACACAUCAAGCUUGUUUGAUUUUAGAGCUUUUAAUUUCACUUUGAUUGUUUAUAGAUCUUAUAGACAUAAUUAAACAAAUCUUAUGAGAGUUUUUUUUUUGGGUAUAUUAGCAUUCAGAUCUUCAAAUAAACAAAAAUAUGAAACUUUAAAACAAAAAACUUUGGAUUUAUGAUACAUAGGAAACAAAGAUGUUGUUUCUAGUAAAGCUCUCGCAACGGUUUUUAACGGUUUCUGGUUUCAUUUAAACUUGAAAUGUUAUCUUACCUUUUCGAUACUAGAUAUCAACUUAUCAUGUUUAUAUGUCAAGGUCAAAUUUUGUGGUUUGAUUUUGUUGUUGUUGUUGUUGUUGGUAGAAACUUAGAAGAGACCGAAACAAAGAUGGAUGAGGACCUGUGUAAGCUGUACUCUUGUGUCAUCUGUACCAAUUUGUUCGAUGAAGCAACUGCCCUAAAGAGAUGUCGCCACAUCUGUAAGCUCCUCAAUUCGCUCUAAUGAUAAGGUUUUGAUUCAUUUAGGCUUUUGGAUCUGAAUGGUGCUUAAGUACUUUGGUAUCACUUGUUUUGUUAUCUUAUUGAGUCCACUGUUUUAUUGAGUUUUGACUUUUAAUCUUGCUUUGGUCCAUCUCAUUUAUAAGCAUUUUAUGGCUUGAAAUUUUUGCUCUUUUUAUAUAGCAAACAAAGAUGUUUGUUUUUAUAAAGCGCACGCAACGGCUUUUAACGGUCUCUGGUUUAAUUUAAAUUUGAAAUGUUAUCUUACCUUUUUAAUACUAAAUAUUAAAUUUUCAUGCUAUACAUUCAUGCUAAAAUCAUUUGUUUCUUAUAUUUUAUCUGAGCUGAUUCAAAGGUAUACAUUUUUUUUUUUUCGAUAUCUUCGACUAAAGUUUUUUUUAAAUAUGAAAUCUUACACAGUUUGCUUCAAUUGCAUUCACGGCAAGAUUGUGGAACAUGACUGGCACUGUUGCCCAAUCUGCUAUGCUGAUUUUGGUCCGGACCCUCUCAUGAGACUUAGGUAUAUUUUCACACUAUGAACAUAUUUAACAUUCUUUUUUUUAUCUUACUAGUUCUUCUUUCUUUUGUGCUACAUUAUAUAUAUAUAUAUAUAUAUAUAUAUAUAUAUAUAUAUAUAUAUUCCCAUUUUUAUGAACAGCCAUGACGACCCUCUUCUAGUAUCAAGGGAAAUGGAGAACAUACCUUCAUCAGAUGAUGAAAAUAUGGAGGUCGAAUCGGAAGACGUUGACGAAAUCUGGGAUAUGAUGGAAUCUGAGACGACUUCUGAUGAAUAUACUGACUCUGAUAUGGAGAUGGAUUCUGAAAGUGACGACUGAGAGCUAUAAAAGUUAUCUUGCAAGACUAUAUUUCCUAUGUUUUGAGUAUUUCGCAAAUGUUAUGUUUUAAAUAAUUGUCAUUUGGAGUCAAACUUUUGUUUUUUUUUCCAGUUGUUUUGAUAGAAUUUUAAUAAAGGAAAUAUAGAAAAAUUGAUGAACUCUAUAUAGUAUAUAAUUCUAUAGUUCAUUUUAAGAGGACCAUUUCAGGAAUGUUUUAUAUAUAUAUAUAUAUAGAUGACACUACUAUAUAUAUAUAUAUAUAUAUAUAUAUAUAUAUAUAUAUAUAUAUAUAUGUAUAUAUAGAUGUGUCUCUAUUCAUGUAUGUUAUCUUAUGGAAUAUUUAUAUUAAAUGCAUUUGACUUUUGUCAGUAUUAUUAUUUAUUCAAACUUCAUAAAUUGAUGAUUAAAUCCCUUUGACUAAUAUAUUUUUGUUGGGAAAUUCUUAAUAACCUUUUUAUGAUAGUUUGACAAAAAAAAAAAAAAAAAUUUUAUGAUACCCUUUUGCAAAACUAUCCUCUUUUUUGCCAUUUUUAUUUUUUCCCUCUUUUAAAUUUUAAUAGUCAUUUUACCCCUAGUUAAAAGAAUAUUUUUUCCCAAAAAAAUUCUGCCAAAAACUUUCCCGCCAAAAUAUUCCCGCAAAAAAAAAAUUUUGUGGGAAAUUUUUGGCUGGAAAAUUUGGCGGGAAAUAUUUCGGAAGAAAUAUUCCUUUUGAAGGAAUAUUUUUUUUGAAGGAAUAUUCUUUUUGAAUGAAUAUUCUUUUUGUUGUAAAGAAUAUUUCUUUCUUCAUCAUGGGUCAUACUAAAGGAAAUAAUUUAGUCAUUUUUUACAUUGAAAAUGGUAUUUUUGAAAAUAGAUAUUCUGAGAGGGUAUUUGUAGAAAAUGGUAUCAUAAAAAGGUUAGUUAUGUAAAUCCUCCAUUUUUGUUUGUAAUAAAUACAAUGAAGUUAAUUUCUUACAAAAACGACAUGUUUAGUUUUAAUCAUAGCUCAGUAAAUGUUUUUAAUACAAGUAAGGUUACUAAUAAAAAUUAUAUUUCAACAUUGUAUCAUUUACUUUAACCUUCUGAUAAUAAGAUAGCAAAAUGAUUUUGUAUUAAUACCUCUCUUUCUUGGACGUAACAAAUGCAUGUGAAGAAGCUCUCUAUUGCACUCGAGUGAUAUCUCUAUUCUUCUGCUUUUCUUCUCAAUAUCUAAGGCCAGACCUGUUGGGAACUGCAGAUAUAUAUAUAUAUAUAUAUAUAUAGUAGCAAAAAUAUUCAUAGCUAAAGUGGUGUUAAGUUUUUCUACUUGUAUUAAAUAUGUUUUUGUCUUAACAUCUAGAUAUAUUAUUUGAUGCAAACUACAAAAACUGGUAUAAAGACGAUUUACUAGGAAAAUUAACUUUGAUCCUAUUAGAUUUACCACAAACGUCUGUUUUUCCUCCAACAUUUCAUUCUCCAUGUUCGUGGAUACCUUCAAUGAUCAACGAUAGAUGACCCUUCCUUUUCUACAAUGUAGUAAGAUUAGUGGCUCAAUUCGAGGUUAUUAUUUUAACAUGCUCUUAUGUAUAAUGAUAAAAAUGACGUCGUUAUGUGGUUUUGCAAUUAGUGGGAACAAAUAAGCAUUAUAAUCCAAAAUUAUGAGCAUAAUGUUACAUUCUAAUAGACAUCCAUUCCCAAAAAGCCAAAAAAAAAGCAAGACCAUAGUACAUUCCUAGAGAAUAAUUAACCAUAGUUAUUAAGACAAUUUCAAGAUAUAUAACCUCUAUAUAUGUUGUACAUAUUAAAAAGGGAUAUAAGUAAACAUCAAACUUGGUCAUCACUAGAUUCUUAGUAACCAUCUCUUAAAAUAUCUAAAGGAACGUACACGAAAUUAAUUUUUAAAGGUACCACAAUGAUAGGUUGAUAAAGGUCAAAGAUGUAGUACAAUACUCAUUUGUCAUGACAUAUCAUCUAAUGUUGGAACCUUAAUUCAGAGUUGUGUAUGUUUCCUUUACUCUAGUUUGAGAGAUGGCUACUAGGAAUCCAGCGUGAACCAAGUUUAAUAUUUACAUAUAUCACUCUUUUUUAUAUAUACUACAUAUAAAGUUUUUAAAUCUUAAAAUUUUCUCAAAAACUUUGGUUAUUAUUUUCUAGGGAAGAUACUAUGCUCUUGCUAUUUGUUGGCUUUUUGGAAACAUAUACCUUUUAGAAUGGAACAGUAUGCUCACAAUUGUGAUUAUUAAUGGGUUUUUUCUUCUCCGUAUGUGCAAAACAUGCAUUUUUGUGUUUUAAGAAAAAACAUAUGUUAUUUCUGCUUUUAAGACAAUGCAUUCACACCAAAUGAGAAGUGAGAUAAAUUAACAAAGUGCAAAACUUGAAAUCCCAAAAAUAGAAAACUUUUCUUUGAUAUGAAGCCAUUUCGAUAUAACCAUUAAUACUAGCUAUAACUAAACAAUGAAUACUUCAAUGAUUGUUGAGCCAAUAAUAGGGCAUUCAUUAGCGAUGAAACUUUACGUCAAAUUCACUGUUACAAUGGAUAAACGAUAUUACCUUACGACGUAUUAAUGAUGAAACUAUAAAUCCUAAAACCUCAAUUAUAAUCUCAAAAUUUUUAUUAUUUGAAAAAAAAAAAAAACUCCCAUCAUUUUAGUAAUUAAAUUUGUAUCAUCAUUAUUUUUUUGGAAAGUUUUACAAAGAAUUUAUUAACGAAUUAAUUAUAAUGAAUUAACGGCAAAUUUAACUAUUUGACAAUAAAGCCGUAUUUACCUCGUAUUUAAAUAUGCAUUUAUGAUGCAUCAAUAACAAACCGGAUUGUUGUUAUAUAUGUGUUUUUCGAAUUUAAGCUAAAUUCAGUCUUUAUUAUCUAGCAAAACUAUAUACUAUAAAAACUAACCGAGAUUUGUCGUUAAUGCUAGCAAGACAUAAGCUUUGUAAGGGAAGAUGGAGGUUGAUUGUUCAAUGUAGUAUCCAGUAUCUUUUUCGCCUUAUAUUUCUCUAAAUCGAUCAUUCUGGACCCAUCGAUCUGCACAAAUUAUUCGUAAAGCAAGUAUUAUAAAGUAUUUCUUAUGUCUCUCAUAUUAUAUUGUAUAAUAUAUAAAAUAAUUAUUAUUCAAGAAAUAUAUUGUAACAUAACAAAAGCUGAUUAACGUGUUAAAAAAAACAAAAGCUGAUUAACAAAUCACUAAUAUUAUCAUUUUUGGACCAAAAUUUCUAAAUAUUAUCUUAAACUCAUGAAUAGUUAUGAAUAGAUUUUGAAGGUUUCUUCUCCCAAAUAAAAAGAUCUACAAAUAUCAAUGUAGAUAAAAGUUUCACAGCAAUAUAAAGAGAUAUGUGAACAGAUAAUAUCUGUGUUCAAAACAAAUAAAAAUUUCAUUGUAGAAAAUAGUCUUAAAUGAGCGUAAAGAGAUAUUCAAAUAGAAGGAUAAAAUUCCAAACUUCGUUACAAGUCAAAGUUGUAUUGUUCUUCUAAAGAUUAUGUUUUGUUAAAACAAUUUUAAGAAAUAAUCCAUCAAACUUUUGAAAAACUAAUUCAUUGGAGAUCUAAAACCACUAUAAAAAUUGUAAUAAUCAAAUAAUAAUUCACAAGAAGUUGUUGCAAAAAAUUACUCUGAAAGGAGUUUGUGCACGAAAAUUUGUUACAUUUUGAAAUACAAAUUCGGGUUUGUGUUUAAAUAUUGGAGCAAACACAAAGACUUAAAAAUAUAUAAAUUUGAAAAAACAAUUAAAAUAGCAUUUGCUAAUUAGACAUUUUUGUGCCAAAAUUUGAUAAAAGACUAAUAUCAAAUACACAGUUUCUGUUGGAAAACUUUCAAAGCAAUUUCAGAUUUCAAAAAAAAGUAUUUGUAGCUAAAUCAUAAGAUCUUUUUUUUUUGGGUCAACAAAUCAUAAGAUCUUUAAGAGAUUAACCAUGAAUUAAACAUGAUCUCUUUCUUCAGCCCCAAAAUAUAAUGAUCAAAGAAAAAUAAAGAACUUAACUGACUUAAAAAAAAAUUCAAGAUCUCUCUAAACCUAUUUAUUUUUAUACAAGAUACAUGAACUAUAUAUAUGUGAUUAGAAAUUCUUUUAGAUUUAUUUAUCUUUUAGUUAUUAUAAAUUAUCAAAUAUAAAUAUUUAUUGCCAUUUGAACACUUAUUUUAAGGUAAUAAUUAAAAAAAUGGUCAAACUAAAUUAAAUUUUAAUGUAAAAAGUGUUGACCGUGGACCAUUGUCCCAUGGACCCACCCAAAGAUAUGUUUUGAUAUAUUUCUUAUAAUGUAAAUGAUUCUUCUCUAUUGUUAUGAAAAUAUGUAUUUGUAUUUUGAACUCUCAUUCCUAUUUAGUAGCUAGGAUGACUAAUCAUUUAAAUAAUAUGAUUACACGAUACUGAAAUGAUCUGACCCGGUUUUUAUUUUUUGAUCCAUCAAUUAAUAAACAUAUACACACUAAAUAACCUACCGAAUUAUUCCAAGAACUAACAUCAUAACAAAAACCAUAACAAAAUAAUUACAACAUUAACAAACAAAGAGAUCAUCCUCCCUCUCAUCGCGAUGAGAUCACGGUCACACUUUUCCGUUACAUGCACCACAAACAAAGAAAUGCGUAAGUAUUACCAAAAAUACUUAGGAGGCAGUCCCCCAUAUAUUAGGCUAAACAACACAAGAGCGUGGAGUUUCUCUUUUAAACGAGCCCGAGGAUUUUUCCAAACCAAAUUGCACAAAUCUAGAAUCAUAAAUCAAACCAAACAACCCAUACUAAAAUCCCAAAUUCUGUUCACGGGUGUUACAAUCCGUCCUCGACUCUCAACACCGACCUUCAGCUAAGGACCUCUGUACACGUCACCACGGCGUACACCUUCCGUAUAAUCCUCUAAGGUCUCCAUCUAGUCAAUAUACUUGUGUCCCAAACAUUAUUUUCUCAACUCAUACACCUCUCCUGCACUCAGUCGUAACACUUGAUUCAUAUCUGCUCACCAUAAUGCCCCCGACAUUUUAAGUUACAUUAUCUUUGAAGUAACAAACCAUUUCUUCGCUCCCAGGAAUCAUCUACCUUUGAUUAAGACCGGCUCACUACCAUACAUUUCGCCUUCAAGGUAUGUUAUCCAUGGAGUCAAAGUUCCCUCUCAGGUCAUCACCCUAAAGCGUGCUCUUGGAUCGUCAUUUGAAGCUAACAUAUGUCCCAGGAGAAAACAAGUCUAAACCUCCCCGAGCAUACUCUUGACCAGAUUUACCUCUCGUGGUUUGCAUAACUGUGACAGUUUUAAUCGCCACGAAUUGUGCCCUUUUCUGACUAUUUAAAUAUCGUCAACUCCCCGAGCAUAUCUCUUGACUAGACCUACCUCCCGUUGUUAGGGUAAAACAAUGCAAUGUCAUACGGACCACCAUAUUCCCCUCUCGAAAUAUCACCAUGACCACCACCAAGCCAUACUCUAAAUAUCAUAUCCCCAAGAGGUGUUUACACAUGCACUCAUAAUAUUUAUAGUCUUAGAAUCGCAUAACCAUUUCUUUUUCGUGACAACAUAUGUGAAAUCCAAGAAAUACUCAUCUUAUUAAUCUCAAAAUGUCAAAAGUGUUACAACCACAGCGAAAAUACAUUAAAAAUACAACAACAUAGCAUAUAUCUAAUUUCUAAAACUGGAACCAAGAAAAGACAAGCUCAAGCCUUCACCUGCUUAUCAAACCAUUUCUUAAACCUUGCAUUCAUCGUCGCCUCUGGCUCCCAAGUCUCCUGCAACACACCAUCACAAUUCCACAUGAUUCUUAUAAAAUGAAUCUUCUUCUAACGAAGUUCCUUUACCUUCCACUCGAGCACCCUCACUUCUCUCCUCUAAAGACAUGUUGUGCUCAAGAUCUACAUGAAUCUUAGCCAUAUGAUGAUUACAAAUGCUAGAUGUGCAUGAAAAACUCUUAAAAUUGCCAAUUUUUGCAACUUUACCCUGCACUUCCAGAAAAUACAAAUAAAUAAUACAAAGUGAGAAAUAAUAUGCAAUAUAACUCGUGUACAUUGAUGUCAAGUUUUUAAAAAUUAACAAAUAAUAGAUCAAACUGAAGGAAUCACGACGAAUUAUCGAAAUCUACCAUUAUAAUAUUGUUAAACUAAGGUAUAUUACCUUAAAACAAUUUAAAAAUACGUGUAACGCUUACAUUGCAUAUAACUUUGUAUAAUUCUUUCUGAAUGUGAAAUGUAAAAUUGCAAAAAUUGACGGUUUUGAAGUUUUUUUACCCAAACCCCCAUUAUUUUAAUGAAAAUGAAUUGUUAUGUUAACGAAAUUUAUUUUUCCGCUAAUUUUUGUGGAUCCGUAAAAGUCAUUUGAAAAGUUUUAAGUAGUAAAAUUAUUGUUUUAAUGGCUUAAUUGUAUAAGUUAAAAACUUAAAGGAAUAAAAAUAUUAUUUAUGAAAUUUUCCCCAAUACUCUAAUGUUUACAACCACCAUUUUGGAUUCACAUAUUCUUUUUUUUUUUUGUCAACAGAUUCACAUAUUCAAAGCAAAUUUUCUGGCCUGUAUUUUUUAUUGUGUGGAUCAUAACUUUCAUAUUAAAAAUUGAAAAGUCUAGAAAAAAAAAUAAAAAUUUCUGUUUGAUUUUAAUAUUUUUUUUUUUUGGGACGAACAUAUGAUUUUAUUCAUUGAAAACAAAGAUAAGGAUCCAAAGAGUACAAAAGCAUUCCUCAAUUCCCUAAACAGAUAGAUAGAAACUUCGAGAAAAGACCCAUAAAAGCUUUGAAACAAACACUUCGGCACAUAUGAGAUCAUGGUUGCUCGAACAGUCACCUUGGAAAGACGUGAUGGAUAACAAAUGAUUGAUUUAAAUAUUUAAAUAUUCGUAAAGUGGCAAUUUUAAAAAUAAAAAAAGUGGCAUAUUUAGAUUCUCUAAUAUUUUAUUAGGCUGUUGACCUCUUUGAAUUUAAGACAACAAUCUAGCUGAUAUGUCGGGACGGCUCUGAUUCCUUCUUUAUUACUUCUUUCUCGAGUGGAGGACAAAAAAAAACCAAACGACAGAGAAAGAGAGAGAGAGAUAGAGAUGGAGAAUCAUACGAACGACCCGACCAUGAAUGUUUCAUCUCUUAAUUGUAUCGAUCUAACCAACGAUGAUCUUCACAACUCAGUUCUGUCCCUUAAACAGGUUCUGUCUUAAAUCUCAAUUUUUUCGAUUUUUUUUGCAUGUGUUUGAUCAUUAGAAAGCAAAACAAGAAAAUAAAGAUUUGAUUUCUUGAUAUGGGUUUAGGCAUGUUUGGAUAGUGGAUUUUUCUAUGUGAUCAAUCAUGGGAUAAACGAAGAGUUCAUGGAAGAUGUAUUUGAGCAGAGCAAGAAGUUUUUUGCUCUUCCUUUAGAUGAGAAGAUGAAGGUGUUGAGAAACGAGAAGCAUAGAGGCUAUACACCUGUUCUUGAUGAGAUUUUAGAUCCUGAGAAUCAAGUCAAUGGUAUUGUUUUGGUGUUAUCUUCUCUGUUCUUGAUUUUAAUGGUGUUUUGUGAUUUGAUUGAUUAAUUUAUAAUAUUUGGAAUUUAUUAGGGGAUCAUAAAGAAGGUUAUUAUAUUGGAAUUGAAGUUCCUAAAGAUGAUCCUCAUUGGGAUAAACCAUUCUAUGGUCCUAACCCUUGGCCUGAUUCUGGUUAGUGUUGUGUUUUUGUUGUUGUGUUGAUUUUGUUGAUGGUACUUUCUUUGAAUAGAUGUUGAUGUUUGUGGUAGAUGUUUUACCCGGUUGGCGAGAAACGAUGGAGAAAUAUCAUCAAGAAGCAUUGUAAGUCUUGUUUUUUGGUUUGGCCUUUUUACUGAAAUUAGUUGGUUUUGUUGAAUAUUUCAUCUAUGUUGUUGUCAAUUUGAAGAAAGAUAUAGGAACAAAAUCAUGGUAUCGAAAGAUUUACGAAAAAGGUUUUCGGUAUGGUUCAGGAGGAUUUCUAAGGCUAUUGCAAGAUUAUUGGCGUUAGCACUCGACUUGGAAGUGGAUUACUUCGAUAAGACGGAGAUGCUUGGAAAGCCGAUUGCAACUAUGCGUUUGUUGCGUUAUCAAGGUAAUGUAUUUUCUUAUGACGGUUAAAGAGCGUUAUAGUUUCUUAAUCUUUGUAUGGUCAUUAUGUUAUACUUACCCCUGCUUCUUUUUUGCCUUUAGGGGUUUCUGAUCCCUCGAAAGGAAUAUAUGCGUGUGGUGCACAUUCUGACUUUGGGAUGAUGACUUUGUUAGCCACAGAUGGUGUAAUGGGUCUCCAGGUAUUAAGCAAAACAGAUUUGCUAUUCAUAUACGUUUUGACAUAACCGGGGUAAUGAGUUAUAUGAGAAAUUGCUAAAUCUUGGGGCAGAUAUGCAAAGAUAAGAACGCGACACCUCAGAAGUGGGAAUAUGUACCGCCGAUUAAAGGGUAUAACGAAGAACCUUCCUAAUUGUUCAUUGGAUGAGUCAUCAUCUUAUGAACUUUAAAUCCUACAUUCCUUUCAAUUUGGUGGGAUUUAUUUGUUGAAUUAUCUGUCUUCAGGGCUUUUAUUGUGAAUCUUGGUGACAUGCUCGAACGUUGGAGCAAUGGAUUUUUCAAGUAAUUAGUUCUAGCUUUACAAAGGAUUGUGAUUUGGAAGUAAAGUUAUCUAGUUGGCAAUUUCUCACAUGCAUAUUGUCCUUACAGAUCGACGUUACAUCGGGUUCUUGGGAACGGUCAGGAACGAUAUUCCGUAAGGCUCUUACUACGCCAAUCUUUGUCUUAUCAUUACAAUCUUUCAGUGUUAUUAAGGAGGUGUUUUAGCUAUAUAUAUACCCUCAAUGCAUGGUUAUAAUAUUCUCAACAGUUUAGUUUUGUGUGUGACAUGUUCAGAACCGAGUCUAGCAAACUAACAUAUAUAACAUCAAUGUCGCAUCUAAUGUUUUCUCAACGCAGAUCCCAUUCUUCGUGGAACCGAAUCAUGACUGUCUUGUGGAGUGUCUCCCAACUUGCAAGUCGGAAAGCAACCUCCCUAAGUAAGACUUCAGCUAGUUUUAUAUGAAAACCUUUGAGUGAUAAGUAGUGUUGUUACUAAUGUUUAUGAUUUUUAUUAGAUAUCCACCGAUCAAAUGUUCGGCGUACCUCACCCAGCGUUACAAGGAAACACAUGCGGAGCUAAGCAUCUACCAUCAAAAAACAUGAAUAAUCGAUCAACAAUAAAAGUAAAAUUAGUAUAAGUUCGUUGUUACUCAAAGCAAAGUCCUCACAGAUAUCAAAAGGUAAGUGAAGUUUACUGUACACUAUAUCCCUUUCAUAGUUAUUGGCAGGGUUACACAUGCUUAUGUCUUGUUUCAAACUUUGUAUCUGUACGAAUUGGAGAAGAAUUUACAGUCUUUGUAACAUUUAGAAUCAAUACUAGCUAGACUUGUUGUCUCAUGGUUUUAUUACAAGAUGUUUUAACUAGACCAAACAAUGUAAAAACUAAUAAGUUUGGUCGCUUCUCGUGUGAUAAUCAUCAAAUUGAAAUAAUCUUGUAUUAACACAAGAUUCGAUAUUCUCAUGUCUCCUUUACCAAUUGGGAAAAGUUUGUCCUUGAGCGAUGAAUAGAAAUCCCAAUUGAUGAUCUCAUAGCUAAUUUUUCAAUUGAAAACAUAGAGAAGUCUCCUUAUUAAGAUAAAGAAAUGAUACAAAGGCUAUUGUAAACAAACAAAAUACUGCUGGUAACCAAAAAAAAAACUGAUGGUAACAGAGAAGAGAAACAAAUUACUGUUUCUCUCUUUAUUAAAAGCUAGUUAAGAGAUGCAACAGUUUCACUAAUUCUAACCGAGCCACUUCGAGAAGUUGUCAAACUCGGUGUAGCAUUGAGACAGGUACAGGAAUAAGAAACCAGUACAGAAAUGGGGACAGAAUACGGAUACGGGAUAGGAUCUCCAAUAAACAUAUAAGAAAAAUAAAUUUAAAUUAUAAAUAUAACUCAACAUUAAAAAAAAUAUUAAUUUGUAAUAAUAUCUUAAAUAACAAUUAAAAUCUAAUUAUUGAAGAAUUUAUUUUUGAAAACCGGAUCAUCUAAUGAAAGGUUCAAAAACUCCAAGAUCCCUGUUAGCCGUUAUAUCACCUUCAUCUCCACCAACAUCCUAGUAUUGUUUGUAUUUUUCAUUUUCUUCAUAAUCAUCAGUAUUAUUUUUAUAGAAGUUGCAGACUUGUGUGGAUGUAAACCAAUUCUUCGGCCCAAUUUGUAGUCAAUUUAUUUCUUUUAAGUGAGUGGAUGAAUGAGUAAGUACUCCAAUUUCUCUCACCACACUAAGAAAAAUUGUCCAAGAAACUUAAAAGCCAAAGUUCUCCAAUUGCGCUCACACUCCUCUUCUUACUUUGACUAUUAAGUUUCUUGACAAACCUAUCUUUUCUUCUUGUGUUUUUUUUUUGAUAAACCCUAUCGGCUGAUCCGGUCAGCCGCGGUAGAAACGCACCGAAGUGCUUCAGAAUGAACUUCUCCCCAAAGGGCCACCACACUGUCUAUCCCGAGUUUGGAAUGCUUUCCGACUAAUGCCAGGGGGUAGUCAGGCCGCCUGCAUUUCUGACUACCAGGUAAACCAAUUGGGCCAAGGCCCAACUGACAGACUUCCCACACAACAAUGACUUUUGUUUCCAGGGUGGAUCGAACCUGGGUUAGUUCCUUCCAACCUUUCCCCAAUUCUCCCUUACCACUGGACCACUGCUGUGCGGGCCUUCUUGUGUUUUUGUGCUGAGCGCAAUUGAAGUACUUACUCAUUCAUCCACUCACCUAGAAGAAAUAGAUUGACUACAAAUUGGGCAUAAGACUUUGUUUACAUCCACAACAAUAUGCGGCUUCUAUUGACAUUGAUUGCGGAAACAAUGGCGUAUUUUUCAUAUUGGCAUUCAUUCAUGUUCGGUAAGCUGCUUGACCAGCACGGUAUGUAUAUAUUCCACCACCUGAAAAUAUAUGUGUUUACUGAUUAGGUUUCGUUAAAAAAAAAUUAAAAUUUUAAAAUUUUAGAAAAAGGGAUUUAACUUAUACUAAAGUAAGUUAUAAAGCUAGGACUUGACUUGCAAGUUAUACAGAUUUUGUUCAAAGCUUACAUAAAAGAAGGUUAACGUCAUAGGACCGGCUCAAUAACAUUAUGGGCUUUAGCCAAAAAAAAACUUUGGACGUUUUAGUUUGAUGUUAUGUGUUUUGUUAUUCACCACAUAAUUUUGUAUACUUUUGUAAAUUUUCAUAGCAAAAGUUUGCAUAUUCUAUAACUUUGUAUGCACCUAUCAGGCGUUGCUCAGUUGAUAAAAGUUGUCACUUAGAGGCGGCAGAGAAGAAGAUAUGGAACUUUUUAUCGACAAAUAUAUGGUACCACACCUAUUUGCUUCAUUUGUGGUGCAUGGUCUCGAUCGUCACACUUUUCGUUUCAUUACAACUCCCGGAUUAAACCACGUGACCCGAUCAAGUACUCUCCCUCAUUGGCCGCACAAAACAAAUCUCGGGUCUCGAUGUUGGGUAAUAUAUUGGGUAAUAUAUAAUUAUAUAUAUUUUUACGUAUUUGAUAGGAAAUUAGAAAUAAUAUAUUUUUACGAUAUUUUUGUAGAAAAAUGGUCAAAAAUGUAGGAAAUGUUCUUUUAGUAUAACUUUUUUUUACUAUAUUUUUACUAUUUAUGAUUUUCUACUGGUGAUAUUCUACUAAUAUUUUUAUAAAAAACGGAAACAAACAACUAUUUGCAACUAAUAUUUUACGCAUAUGUCCGUAGGAAAUCGUUUAUUUACUUGUAGGUAUAGUCAAGAACAAGUAAAACCCAAAGCCAAAGCUAUUAUGUUUUUGUGUUAGUAGUGCUAGCAUCGGAAAAAAGGAACAAACAAAAAAAGCAAGAUUGUACUCAAAAGUAAGAGAAAAGGGAAUAGAUAAUUUCCAGGUAAUGUGGGAGAGAUACUAAAGUGUUAAUAAAGAUCAUUUGACAAGUCUUUCUUUCGUAAACGUACACACAUGCGUAAAAGCUUGACUUGUAUGAUAUAGUAUUACUAUAUUUGUAAGACUUAAUUUUGCAUUGUGAAGAACAUCUAAACGUAGUUUUAUUUGUUGCCAAAGAAAGAUUUAUAAUGAAUUUUAUUAUUUUUCUUCGACAGUUCCAAGAUCCAUGGAUUUGACUAUGUUUUUAUUUUAUUUUGACAAGUUGUCUAGAGAGGUUCGUUCUAAUGGAACUAUACUUGUCCGAAUCCAAAAGAAAAAUAUUCAGUUCUUCUUGUGUACGUUAUUUAAAUUUUCAGAUAAUUUUACAUCAAAAUGUGUAAUUAAAUUUGUAUGAAAUGUUUUAUAUAUAAUGAUCUUGAUAAAUAUAAUAACAAACAAAUUUUAGUUGUUUCUAAGAGCACCUCCACCGGUGAUAAAUGGAAUGUCUUUCCUAAUUUUCAUUAUUAAGUUUAAUACAUUCAUCAAAAAAGAAAAAUAAAAAUGUCUUCCGCCGAGACAUUCAAGAUAUUAUUAAAGAGAUUCUAAACUAUGUGUCACCUUUUCAUUAUUUUUUGUUAGUUUAAUAUUUAAUAAAAUAAAUUAGCCAAAGACACCUUUGAUUGAGUUAUAAGUUGAGAAAGGUCUAAAGGUAUAAACAUUACUACAAGAUAGAGUAAAACCAUCUUUAUUAGGAGGCUCUUAGCCUAAGAUUUUGUUAAGAAAAUAUCUUAUAUAAUCUUUGGAUCUUUUCUUAACAAAAUCUUAGGUUAAGAGCCUCCAAGUGAGUCUAAAAAAAUUUAACACAUUCGUAUAUCUCGAAUCCUAGUCUAAACAUAAUUUAAUGUAUAUAUAUUUUAUGCUCAAAGAAAAGUCCAAGUUUGCUUUCAAGUAAUUAAGUGUGAACAUUAUUAUUAUUAUUAUUAUUUUUGGGUCAAACUAAAAACAACAACAAAAACUUAUGUCCCAAAUCUCUUGAUUUAGAGCAUAAAAUUAUCAUUUCAAUGCAUAUUUAAUCUUGAUUAGCAUACCUGUUUAUGUUACCACUAAAAGCUCAAGGAAUCAAAAACAAUACGUAUAAUUACCUAUACAAAGAUGCAGUGUGAAUUUAUACCCAAACUCAAAUAAAAUUCAAAUUUCAUACCCAAUUAGUACAAAUAGUGCUAAUUUCAUAUUCCACAUUAAUAUAUGCUGACUUAUAUGCCACGUGUCACAUUGAGAUGCUGACUAUGUGUCACAUUCUAAUUUUGUUAUAUUUUUUUGUUAGUUUAAUAUUUAAUAAAAUAAAUUAGCCAAAGACACCUUUGAUUGAGUUAUAAGUUGAGGAAGGUCUAAAAGUAUAAACAUUACUACAAGAUAGAGUAAAACCAUCUUUAUUGGGAGGCUCUUAGCCUAAGAUUUUGUUAAGAAAAUAUCUGAUAUAAUCUUCGGAUCUUUUCUUAACAAAAUCUUAGGAUAAGAGCCUCCAAGUGACUCUAAAAUUUUUUAACACAUUCGUAUAUCUCGAAUCCUAGUCUGAACAUAAUUUAAUGUAUAUAUAUUUUAUGCUCAAAGAAAAGUCCAAGUUUGCUUUCAAGUAAUUAAGUGUGAACAUUAUUAUUAUUAUUAUUUUUGGGUCAAACUAAAAACAACAACAAAAACUUAUGUCCCAAAUCUCUUGAUUUAGAGCAUACAAUAAUUAUAUUUUCAAUGCAUAUUUAAUCUUGAUUAGCAUACAUUUUUAUGUUACCAUUAAAAGCUCAACGAAUCAAUAAAAGUACGUAUAAAAAAGACUUUGCAACCUCGUUAAUUAUGUAUUUAGUUUUGCUUUCUCAUUCUCAUAUCGUUGUUAACAGAGAAUAAUCUCUCUCACUUGCACACGUACCAAAAAAAACUAAACUAAUCUAGUCAUGAUCUAGAUAUAUGUAGCAACCAAUAAAAAAAUGAAAGAAUCAAGAAACGCAUUCAUAAAAAUUACUCAAUCAAGAACAAUCUAAUAUCUAACAAAUCUACAACACUCUCUUUAUUUCCCCUUCUUGUUUCCCAUUACCAAACCAUAAAAGAAACCACUUUUGGUCGUCUUCUUCUUCUUCUCAUCAUCAACUUUAUAAGCAACAGAUCGGCUUUUCGUCAUCCACGAAACCCCUUUUUCUCUUCUCCCGCUGCCUCCUUCCACUACCAAGUAUCGUCGGCCAUCAAGAAGAGGAGAAGGACAAGAAGAGACAGAUGAAGAACAGUAAGAAGAAAGAGAGGAACUAGUUGAUGAUGAAGAGAGAGAUCUUGGUCGUCCACGUGAAGAAGCUGCUUUCAUAAAAAGAGAGAGCUUCUCGUUAAGACAAAGAGAACAAACACCAGGUGAUUGUCUAUGCUUCGGAUGCUUCUUACAAAACACCGCGGUUUUGGUCUUAUCUUGAUGAUCUACCUUGUUCUUGUUACUCAACCCUCGUCUUAUCCCUAGCAAGCUCGUGCUCAAGCUCGCCAUCUAUUUUGAGUGGGUAAGAAGUAAGAAGUAAACAUCAAAAUGUUUAUAUAAUUAUUAGUAAAGAGAGAAUGAUUUGGUCGUGGUCUUGGAUGGUUCAUUGGAGGUUUCUAGUGAUCUUCCGGGAAAGUUUGAAGAAAGGUUUAUUUAUUUUUGUCGACAGGUUCGUGUGGGUCGGGGUAAAGGAGAUUUUUAACGGUUGAGAUGAGUAGAUGAGAUUAAAGUGACGGCUCAGAUUAGAGUUUAACAGGUCAGUUGAAAUGACUAGAAAAUUCCAAGUCUGGUAGGCGCGAGGAGAAAGUCUCAAAAAUUGUGAUCACACACUCAAUAUAUUAAAAUAUGGAAUUUGUAGUAUUUUAUUCUGAGGCAUAUAAAGCCAUAAUGUAUUUUUUGUUGUUGUUAAAGUUAAUUAUGAUGACAUGUUGUGUCGAUCCAAAGAAGUAUGUAUAUUAAAUUAUUAAUACAUUAUACGGGAGAUAAUGAUGAGAAAUGGUUUUUUAUUUUGAUAGAAAAAUAUGAGAAAGUGAACGAAAAUAUUUUUCUUCAUUGGUUUAUCAUUUUGUAGAGAAAGAUAAUAUUAUGAAAUAAUUGCAUUAUAUUAAAAAGAAUCACGCAAAAUUUAAUUUUUUGUUAACCUUUUUGACAAAAUGAUCCCUAAAUUAUGAAAUGUAACAAUGACAUUUAUAAAACAAAAAUAUAGUGGUAUAACCAACAAUAAAAUUUGAAAAUAUGUCAUUAUUACUAAAACUAAAGAUUACAAACAAACAAACUUAAUACAACAUAUCAUAAUGAUUUCUUAAAAUUAAUUUGAAGGUAAAUUUAAUCCAACAUAUGUUAAUAACUUAAUAACUAACUAGUAAACCGCUUGUACACUCGUAAGCUGCUUGAGAUGUGUACAAGGGUACUAGGUGAAGUAAACGUGUAACAAGCAAUUUGAUAUCCUUGUUACUAAUUUUUUUUUGUGUAAAAUCUUUGCUUAUUCACCUUAAUCAUAUAAGUACACAUUUUCAAAUGUUGUAUCAAAUUCAAGUCUUAAAUUAAAAUUUUACUUUUUCUCUAUCAAUAUUUAAGCUGCUCAAUAUACCCUCAUGAAUCUAACUAUGUAACUACAAAAUUUCAAUAUUAACAUUCAAACAAUCUACAAAUCACAACCCUAAGUAAGAAAAAGUUAUGUUAGGAUGUAUAUUACGUAGUUGAUCCACUCCACAUAAUGAUGAAUGCAUAAAAAUGUUAGUGGUUUGCAACGUAGAUAGGGUAGUUAGUGUGAUACAUCAUACAUGUAUAUUAUCGUUUAAAGCAUUGGUUAUGAUUAUAUGUAUAACAUAUGAAAUUCAAGAAGAGAGAUUUAUAUAUACUCCUGGAAUAAAAAUUUCUUAAUAAAAUAUUAAUCUUUGUAACUUUGAAAAAAAGAAAAAUGGCAUGGGUGAGUUUUUAAUGUUGUAAACUCUAAGGUAAGUGUAUGAUCAAUCAUCAUCAUCUUAAGAUAAACGAAGUUUAUUAUUCAUCUACAUCACCAUCUUUAAGGAUCUUAAGUUUUUUUCAUUAAGGUUUAAGGUUUAGAUUUUAAGUGUUAAGGUUUAGAUUUUAUUUUACAAUUAAAACACGUUAUAUGUUGGUUUUGGUUUAUAAAUAAAUAAUUUAGCUUUAUAAAUGAGAAUUAUGGUUUAGGUUUAACAAUCAAGUGAGAUUAUAUAUAGAUAUAUAUAUAUAUAUAUAUAUAUAUAUAUAUAUAUGUUGAAGCUUGGUUUUUGAAAGUUACUAACUCAAGUGAUCAUGGUAAGUGUCAAGUAAAACAUAAGAUGUCGACACAUGCUAUAUUUAGUUUUGUUAAUAUUAAGAUAAAAAUAGUUUUUCAAAACCAUAUUGAAAAAACAUAUGCAAAAUAAUUAUAUUCAAACUUUUUAAUUAAAAAUUAAACUAUUAACCUAAUUUUGGGUUAUGUCGGUUGGGAUUUAUCAACAAUAUUAGGAUUUACGAUUUAACAAGAUUAUAUGUUAGUUUUUGUUUUGUAAAGGACGAUUGAGACAUAGGUUUUACAAUUGUAUAUGGGUUAUAUGUUGAUUUGAGUUUAUAAAUGAGCAUUAUAGUUUAUAUUUUAUAAUUAAAUGAGAUUAUAUGUUGUUUUGGGUUUAUAAGUAGGAUUUAUAUUUUGCAAAUUAAACAAGAUUAUUUAUCCGUUUCGGUUUAUAAAGGAGAAAUAGAAUUUAUAUUUUACAACUAAAUGAGAUUAUGAGUUUAACAAAAUCAAUAUUUUUAUUAAUGAUUGAUUUUAUAAUUUGUUAUAUUUGUUUAAUUUUUAAUUUAUGUAUAAAUGUAAUAUAUCAUGUAUCAUCGAGCAAUUUCAUUAACUAAAACAUGAAGGCAGAUCAAAUGAAUUUUGAAAAUAGUUUUUAGCUUAAAUUAAAGAGAACUAAAGUUCAAUAUAAUUCAUAAUAUAAUGACUUUCAAAAUAGUAUUGUUUAAAGAUGUAUUUUUUUAUAACUCGUAUUUGAAAAAUUUCUUAGUGUUUUUCUCAACGAUUCUAUAAUUUGUUUUUAUUAGCGUUUUAAUAUAAACUUCUUUACAAAUGACUUUAUAUGUAUUUAUAUCACAUUUUAGAUUGAUAAUAGUUUGAAAGAGCUUUACAUCAAAUUUAAUAAUAAUUAAUUAAUUUUCAAAAAUUCAAUAAAUUGCAGAGCCUGAAAAUGAUAUUUAAAAACCUGAAAGUUAAGAAAUGACAAUUUUUAUAAAAUAGUAUAAUCAUGUGUUAGGGGAUAAUUUCUAAAUUAAGUUUUUUUAAUAUUUUAACAAAAUUCUGAAUAAUGGUGAAUAGCUCGCAAAUGUUUUGGUGAUUGACAAUUGAAUAUUACAAGAUUCUUAUAAUUAACGGUUAAUAACAAAUCUUAAGUAUAUAUAUACAUAUAUUACUGUCUUAAGACCAAAAAUAAUCUCUUUCCAAAUUAAAAGUUUUCACUUAUCUUUUUGCUUAAUAUUUAAUAACUAAAACUGUAAGAUACACUUGACGAAAUUAAUUUGUUUCAUAACCAUUGGUGUAAGUAUAGGUUUGAGCCUCUUUGUUGUGGGCGUAGGGAUCAGUCUUUAUAUUUUCUAACGAAAAUAUAGAAAGGAUAAGCGAAAAAGAAGAAUUUUAAGAGAAAUGGAGGACUGCUAUUACAGCUAAAACUGAGGUCAGGGAAGGAUACAUAGAUAGAAUUAGAGUAUUUAGCUCCAUGAAACUAGAAAAGGCUACAGAGAGUUAGUACUUGGUCAUAGAGCACAAGAAACAGUGUUUAAAGGAUUUCUCGCUGAUGGUAGGAUUUCAGCCGUGAAAAAGUCUAAGGUAGGAGACUAGUGGUUCAAGAUAAGCUCCAAGAGUUUGUAAAUGAGUUUUACUUACUCUCGGUGAUCAACCACCAGAAUAUCGUGGAAUAUACUAGGAUGCUGUCUUGAAACAGAGGUACCCCUGCUUGUUAUAUAUAACCAAUUGUUGCAAUGCUAUUGGACAUAUUUGUUUAUUAAUAAUUUUUUCAUUUAUUAAGAAAUUGGAGAAAAACCCAAAAUAUACUUGGUUUAUUUUAUUUUUGGACAUUUAAUACCUGAACUUUUUUGGUUGGAAGAAAACACUUAUUUUAUUUAAUUUUGUUAUAAAAAGUCUUCGCUUAUUUAAAUUUUGGUAUAUUCAUACCUACGAGCUCAAACCAAAAAUAAAAAUCCAGUUUUACCCUUUCAACCAAAAUUAAAUAUUGAUGUUUAACUAAUAUGUCAAUAAUUUUAAUUUUAUUUGAUAAAAGUAAAUUUUAACUCAAAAAGUAAUUUUUAACUAAAAAAUAAUUUUUUUUGAUAUUUUGUUUUACUACUAUUAUUUAUUUAUAAAAUAAAAUCUUAAAAUACAUAGAUUACUUUAGUAUUAUUGGAGAAUAUAAAAUUUGUAAGCAAAACUAAUUUGAAAUAACCUAAAUAGAUUUGUGAUAUUAAUUUGUAAGCAAAACUGAUUUUAAAAUUUUUCAUUAAAUUUUCUUUAAAUUUUUAGAAAAAUUGAAUAGAUUUUCUUUCUAUUUUUAUUUAUUUGUACUUAUAAAUAAAAUAAUAAUAGAAAACAUAAUACCAUUAAAAUUAAUUUUUGAGUUAAAAUUUUAUUUAAAAUUAAAAAUUAAUGCCACAUCAUUUAAACAUUGAUAAUAAAUUCAGAUUGAAAAGGUAAAUUUGGAAUUUUAUUUUUGGUUUGAGAUCGUAGGUAUAAAUUUACCAAAAUUAAAUAAACGAAGAUUUGUUUCGGAUUUUUUCUCUUUAGAAAUCAUGGGAUUGUUAAUUAUCCUUACGUUUCUGAAUUUGUUUAGUCUAGUUUUUAUGAGUUGAUUAUAUUACAUUUUGUACAUUAGUUAAAAUUGUGUAGAUUAAGCUUAUAUCUUAUGUAUUUUGAAAGAUGUAUUAAUGUAAAAUGUCUUUAUUUCAUCAAUAUAUCUUAAAUAUUCUUUCCUUCAAACCAUAUACAAUAAAUGAAGAAAGCUAAUUAAUUUUAGAUUACGGGGGUUAUUGGAAUAUUGAUUUUAAAAGAGUUUGUGGAUUCAAAAGUUUAGAUAUUUAAAGAUUCUCAACAAAAUCGGUAGAUUCUAAAAUACUGUUUACCCAGAUUUUGGGAGUUUAGUAGAUUCUUCAUAUGAUAAGAUUUUACAAAUACUUAUGAUAAGUGCAAUAUUUUGGAAACCAUUUUCCCAAUAACAAUAGAAUUUGAUAGAAUUGGAAAAUCAAUAAAUUCUCAACUUUUUGCAUAACAAAGGAUUUUAAAUAGAAUUACAAAAUACUUAUAACAUAAAUUUUUUUUUAUUGAGAUGGUAAUCUUUUGAAACAAUUUUUUUUUAAAUAAAAAUGGAUCAAUUAGGAACAUAAUAAUAAUAAGUAUUAGUUUAAUUGGAUUCAUAUAUUAUCAAUUGGCUUUUUUUUUUUUUUUUUUUUUUUUUUGUAUAACCCUACGUGUUCCAGACCACACAGUGAUCUGACUAGCCCACUGGGCUUAAACCCGCGAUCAAGGAUUAUUAAACGUCCACUAAAGGGCCCCUUGAAACUGGUGGUCUGGGGUGCUGCAGCCCACAUGUAAAGUCUGCAGUGGCCGGGACUCGAACUCGUGAUGGCGGGUACCCCAGCUGAGGCUCUUUUACCACCAGAGCUAGAGGCCCCGGUUAUAUUAUCAAUUGUUACAAUGUUAGUGUAACAUAUUUGCCUAUUAACCAGUUUUUCAUUUACAAUCAUAUCAUGUAGUUGUUAAUUAUCCUUUCACUUAUAGAUUUCUAUUGUCUAAUUAUCUUGGAUUUGGACAUAUAAUCUUAUAUAAUUGGUUUGUACAAUAUGUUACCUAAUCUUUCUCUCAUAGCAAAUUUUCAUUUAUGGAUUUAUACAGUCGAGUUCUUUUCAAAAUGGAUAUAUUACUUUUUUUUUUUCUUUUACUCAUCAAUGGAUAUAUUACUUUUUUUUUUCUUUUGCUCAUCAAUGGAUAUAUUACCUUGUUUGAGAAGCUUAAUAUGUUACUAAAUUUUCAUCUCGUACCAAAUAUAUUGUUAUGUGUAUCAAUACGGUUUAUCUCUUUAUAACAUUUGAAAAAGUCGUGAUAAAGUAUCUAUUAUGUUACAAUCGUACCAAAAUUUUGUAAGAAUCAUUUAAGACUAAUUAAAUCUAGUAGAUUAAGAUUUUAUCAUGGGGGAAUUUCAAAAAUACCCCUUUUCAUAUAUCUCUUUUUAAAAAUACCCCAUUUUCAAUCUUUUUCAAAAACCCCACUAAAAAUGUUGAAAUUUAUCCAAAUAUAUGUGUAAGCUUAUAAAUAUAUACACAAAUUACCUUUAUAUGUGUAUAAAACUUUAUAUACCUUUCAUAAAUAGCGUAAAAAUAAAUUAUAAAAAGCUUAUAAAAACCUUAUAAAAACCGUAUAAAUCCUUUUAAAAACCUUUUAAAAACCUUAGAAAACUUAUCAAAACGAUUCAAAACUAUUUAAAAUAUUUUAAAAUAUUUGUAUCGAAUCUCCCAGUAGUUGUUAUUAUACAGAAGUACCUUAUAAACUAUAUAAAACUUUAUAAUUUUUUAUAUUUAAAAAGGGGUAUUUUUGAAAAUGGAUAGAUAAAGGGGGUAUUUUUAAAAAGGGGUAGACCAAAAGGGGUAUUUCUCAAAAAUUCUCUUUUUUCAUAUGUAUUUGCAAUCUUCUAAUCACCAAGAACUAAAACAUAUAUAAAUAUAAACUAUAAGAUGAAAUAUGUAAACUAUAAGACAUUGCCUUUGAAAUGUUAGGCCUUGAAUGUUUUGUAGUUUUUGAAAGAGAUUUUGGUAUUUAUUUUUCAAAAACUCAUUUUCAACCAACCAAGAUGAUUACAUGUUGGAUUCCCUAAAAUUGAGUGAAUUUGUCUUUGUUGUAGUCCCUCAUUCAAGAUUUUAGAUCCCAGGUCUCCUAAAAUUAAGAAAAUAUAGUUUUUAUUCUUUCUACAUUAUUUUUUCUCCAAAACAGAAAACCAUUUUUUGGGAUUUUUAAAACAAAGCCUAAUAGAAUCUAAAACUAAAAUUUAAAAUUCAAAAACUAAAAAGAAAAUCCAAAAACUGAAUUAAAAAUCAGCAAUCAUUCAUGGCCGUAGUCAAUAAUAGUAUACAAAUUAUAUAUACAUUAAGAACUGUAAACUUAUAACUUUUUAACAUAAAUCAUUCACAUUAGGAAAUUAAAAUCUAUAAAAAAUAUUUAACUAUUAUAGGCAGAUGUAAAACAUAAUAUUUUCUAGGUGUGCAAAAAAUAAAUACUUUUAACCAAGAAUGCAUAUAAAUCAAUGUUUCUCUACGUUUGUAGAAAGAUGACUCUUAAAUAUGUUCAAUAUAUGCUAACAAAUAGUAUAUAUGUUUUAGUAUAUUUGAAAUUUACUAUUUUUCUCUCUCUAAGAUAUGUAUCAUUGUUUCUGGAUUUUUAAUCUCUAAUACUUUUAAUCUCUAACUAGAUGAUAAUCCGUGCUACCGCACGACUGACGUUUUAUUUUUUAUUUUAAUAAAACUGCAUAAUCUAUAUAAAUAAAUAAAUAUAUAUAACUUUUAAUCGGUUGACCGUGGUUGAACCCGGCUAAAUAGUGAUAUGAUGACCCGGAAGGUAAUCUGGUUCAUAAUCUGGUUUGAGUUUAAAAAACAUUAAUUACAUGUUUUUGAAUUUGACAUGUAUAUUUUUUGUUUGUAUAUCUUUUUGUAACUGAAUAUAUAUAUAUAUAUAUAUAUAUAUAUAUAUAUAUAUAUAUAAAAGAAAUAUGUUUAGAGAGAACUUUAAUAGUGGAAAAUAUAAUUGCAAAAAGGAAAAAUUUUGAGCUAUUGUUAAGACUUUUGAUUUACAAUAAAACAUAAUAUAUUGAUUAGAUAUAUUUAUAUUUGAGUUUUCUGUAUUCGUCAGUUACGUUAUAAUGUUCUUUUAUAUAUAUUUUUGAAUUUUUAAUGUUUAUAAUUUUUUAAACUUUUAAAGUUAAAAAAUUGUAAUAUUUUGGAAAAUUUUAAAAGCUUAUUUUAAAACUUUUAAUACUUAUAAUAUUUUCAGUUUCUUAAAAUUUUUAAUAUUAUAAUAUUUUAAAAGUUUUUAAAAGAUUUAAUUUGCUCAAAUAAAGAACCAUAUUAAACCGAAUAAAACUCUUAAAUUUCGGAUGAUUGAGAAAUCAAACUUCCUGCUCAUUCGUAGUUGGAAGCAUAUUAGUCUAAAUUUUUCUAGCCGAUGUGGGACGUUGUACAUACCAUCUUUUUGUUUUAUCGAUUGAGUAAUAUACAUUCGCUGGGAUCUUAUUGACAACAUAUGAUCAAUCAGAUAGAGGUGAAAAGAGAUUAUUAGUAUUAAUAAUAUAUUAGAUUGAAUCAAGUAGAGAUAUUUUAGGAAAAUCAAAUUACAUAUGGAAAUUAUAUAAUUUGUUGCAGAUAUAUCUGAUUUAUUAUCCAUACCCAGUUAAUGAUCUAAAAUUGAUGUAUUUAAUUUUAUUUCAUUUAAAAACUUUGGUGUAAAUCUAAUGGGUACUUCAGCUUUAAUAGUAUAAAUAUCUUAUGCAUCCUACAUGGUUAUAAGCAUAUCUCUACACAAUAAUAUCUGAACACAAAUUGGGCAAACCAUAUCAUCAUUUGAUAAUCAUAGCGUAUCAUCAACUUUGAGAACAACCGCAUCCGAAAAUGAAAUGAUGUGUAAACAAUAAUUAAGAUUUUUUUCCUCUCAAACUUACUUUAAACAGAUUUGGAAUCCUCUAUAUCUAAAUUUGUGUUUUUCAGUGUAUCUGAAAGCGCAUUCACCUCCGUCGCUAGAUUAUCGACCUCGAACAUCGCCAUGGAUCCCUAUAGUUAUUUUUCUCUUUGAAAUGUCUGUAAUAUUUAUGUCAUACUAAUAUUUGUUUUCAUUAACAUAAUACGAAAAAGAAAAAAAGCAAAUGAUUUCCUUUUAAUUAAAGAGUUAUUUCUAAUUAAUGUAUGUUUAGAAAAAUUAAGAUUGUAAAAAAAAAAAAGGAUACAUCUUGUUUUUUUCUCUCUGUUUUUCCUUUAUAACUCUUUUUUGCUAUUCUAUGAUGAAUUUCAUGUAUAACAAAAAAACAAUAAUACGUUCAUACAAAAAAAAAAAAAUAUAUAUAUAUAUAUAUAUAUUUUAAAAAUAAUAAUAUUACACAAUUUGUGUUGUUCAUUAUGACUUUGGAGCCCCACAUAUCAACUUUCAGGCCCACACUCUACCAACUACAGCCCACAGGGCCCAUACAUGAGCCAAGACCAGUCCUCGUCAAUUUUUUUUUUAUUUUUUUUUUUAGUCGCUUCAGAUCUCAUGAGCUUCUAAUUUCUCUGGCAUCUCCGGUGUGUUCUCAGGUACGACCUCUGAUCUCCGAUCACCAAUUCCACCGUCGCAUCUUCUUCAAUUCAUCCUUGACUCUCCUCUGUAUUACGAAUCAAAAGUACGAGAUCGCUACAUUUUUAGAAUUUUAGUCUCCGAUGUUCUUCGAAUCUCACGUCGUUAGUGUUAUCAUGCUUAGAAAGUUAUACUGCAUUUUUUGUGAUUAUAAUUUGGUUGCGGAGUUGAAAUUGAUCUAGGAUUUGUGAAUUUGUCGGUGUUACGACUUGGUUUGAUGAUGAUUUUGAAUUGCUUCUUCUACUGGUUAGAUUAAAGCUUAGUUCAAGUUUUGGGGAAGAUGCAGCAUACUCCAGUAACGAUAGAGGAUCAGUUGAUAUCGAAAGCUGUAAGGGAAGAAUGUCAAUGGGAAAAUCUCCCAAAGCGACUCCAAUCUAUUCUUGGGUCUAAGGAUGAAUGGCAUAAGAGGUUAGUCUUUGAGUUCUUUGAGUCUACGAUACGAGAAGCUUCUGCAAUGGACAUUUUGUAUGAUUAGGGGAUUGAGUUAGCUAUGUUGGAAUUGAGUUGAUUUGUAGGAGUAUGAUUUUUUUUACUGUUUUGACUCUCGAUGCAGGGUUACUACACAUUGUAUCAAGAAAAGACUCCUGUGGAAUACGUGUUUUGCUUGUAAAGUUUGCAAAGAAGGUGAAUAUUAUGAAGAUAUGAUGCGUUACUUGCGAAAGAAUUUGGCGGUGCGUGUUGAUGGAUAUCUAUUUAAGAGGUUUUUUUUUUUUGUUUUAAUUGCAUUCUAGUGGAGUUUGCAAAUCAUUUUGCUGUAGUUUCUGUGUCAUUUUCCUGUCUUUAUUCCUCAUUUUAUCUCGUAUUUAGUGGCUUUCUCACCACGCAAUUUUUUGACUAACAAGGUUUAUUUAGAUUCUAAAAACCGUACCAUGUGAGAGUUAUUUAAUAAUGUGUUUCAUACUCUGAAAGGUGGCUGUAGGUUUACUUGGUCGAUACAACUUUGUGAACUAGAACGAGAUAUGAGGCUAUAUUUUCUGUUACUGUCAGAGGGUCUAAUCUUAAUUGCUGUUAUCAAUUACCUGCAGCUGUUUCCAUAUCACCUCGCAGAGUAUGUUUGCCGCGUGAUGAGGAUAUCACCUUUCAGAUACUACUGUGACAUGAUAUUUGAAGUCAUGAGAAAUGGUAAAUUGUCGCUUUACUUUAGAGUUCACUUUUCACUUACCCAAAGUGCUAGCCAGCGAUUUUGUCAUCCUCAUUCCUUUUAAUUUGACACAGAGCAACCUUAUGACAGUAUUCCAAACUUCAGUGCGGCAGAUGCUUUCCGGCUUACAGGAAUAGGGAGGAAUGAGUUCAUUGAUAUCAUGAAUAAAUGCAGAUCUAAGGUACAAUUUCGUCUAGAUUCUAUACUUGUUUAUGUGACUGGCAUGUUGUGUAAGUUGUACUCUGCAAAAUUUUCUUUUGCUUUGAUUUCCGAGUGAAGAAUCUUUAUAUAGAUUAAAUACGGGAAUUCAACAUUUACAAACUUUAGAUGGAUUUUUUCUUGUUUUCAUUUUAUGUCACUGUAAUUUUAAGAAAGUUCAGAGCAUUGUAGUGUAUCAUUAUAACUUGGAGCCUAUAAGUGGAUGUAAUUCAACAUCUAUUAUGUCUUAUACUUUCCAUUCAUGUUUUGAGCUUUCCAGAAAAUAAUGUGGAAGCUGAACAAAUCAAUUGCAAAAGACUUCUUACCUACUCAACCUGUGGAUUUCCCUAUUGACCCUUGGUGGGGUGUUUGCCUUGUUAACUUCACCAUAGAAGAGUUUAAGGUAAUCUAAGCUCUCUUUAUCUUUUCAUUUCUUCCUUUCCAAACUAAUUUUACUAGGAUUGAACGAUGGCACUAUCAUCCUACUUGUUCCUUGUCUGAUAACAGAACUGGUUUCCUUGUUCUUUGCAUAGAAACUUUCAGAAGAUGAGAUGGCAACAAUAGAUAAAAUCUGCAAAGAAGAAGCAAAUGCCUAUAUUCUCUUCGAUCCAGAAGUCAUUAAAGGUCUGUACCAGAGGGGAUUGGUAUAUUUUGAUGUCCCAGUCUAUCAGGAUGACCGCUUUAAAGGUGAGUUUUUGUUUGCCAGUAUUUCUUAUCACUUCAUCUCUUCUAUCUCUGCUUACAGUGUACUUCAAGGGUUGAAUAUGUUGAAUUUUUGCUAAGACAUAUUGUCACAUCAGUUGAUUCCAAAAACAGUUUCAUAACCAUCUGUUCAUAUAACUAAAAUUUAUCAUUGUUUAUCAAGACUAUUUCAUGCCACUUUUAUUUACUUGGAAAAAAGCCAGUGAAGCUCCUAGAUAAUAUGUCAGUCUCAUAAGGCUGUUCUUAGAUUCAUGUCAGUCUCAUAUAUAUAUAUAUAUAUAUAUUUUUACUGCGAGACUCAGAUUUCACUUAGAUGCAUGUCCUUUUGCAUUCAUGUUUCAGUUUCAAAGCUUGAAGGGUUCAUUUCUAACAGAGAGCAGUCUUACGAAGAUCCCAUUGAAGAGUAAGGGAACUAUUCUGCCACAUGGAAGCUUAUCUUAUCUUGGUUUUGCUACCCCUGAUAUUAUCUAGGAGUCUAAUAGCUGCAACUACAUUUUGCAGAUUACUCUAUGCAGUUUUUGUAGUUUCAAAUGAGAAUUCAACAGUUGCAGAGCUGGCAUCCACUUUGCAAGCUGACGUAACUCAAUUACAGGCUGCUGCGUCUUUUGUUUGCCGAUUGGGAUGGGCUGUCAAGUUAAUUGAUCCGUCAUCUGUGCUACAUGACAAGAUUGUGCCUGGUUCUCCGCGUGCCAUCCUCAGUGAUGAAGAAGAUGCAUCUCAUGCUGAUGGUGAGGCGGCUCAACAUGGAGAGAAUUUAGGGACAGAAAGCUCAGGAUCACGUUCUAGUCAUGUUCGGGUUGCUUUCAUAGUUGAUGCUAAUAUAACAUCGUAUCUAAUGAUGGGUUCUGUGUCACCAGGUAAACUUUCCUAGUUCUAUUUGAUGUCUAGCUUAUGAGUAACUGUUAUCUUUGAAAGAGGAUCACUUUGUGCAUUAUUCUAAUAUAUUCUAUUCAUGUUCAUGAACGCUAUUGUAGGAUUGAAAUCUCAUGCUGUGACACUCUAUGAAGCGGGAAAACUUGGACAUACUAGUAUCCCAGACCUUUGCCAGGAUCUGAGCACAUUAGAGGGAGCGAAAUUUGAGGGUGAACUGCAAGAAUUUGCAAAUCAUGCCUUUAGUCUCCGUUGUGUCCUGGAAUGUUUGAUAUCUGGUGGAGUUGCUACUGAUACAAUAGUUGAUACGAUGAGCUUAGGAACUUUGAGCAAUGAUGAGGCUGUUAGUCUUCUCGCAGAUGCUAAUUUACCUGAUAAUUCAGGAGAUUCUUUGACCAGCAAAAAUAGCGAGGCUUCCAUGAUUUCUGAUGCCCCUCAAGAGGAACCCUUAUCGACAGAGCGUGUCCCUGAAAGCACUGAGCAUGAAGUAGCUUCCACUACAUCGUCCAUUGAUCCUACUGCCUUGACUGAGAGCUUUAGUUCUAACUUAAACCUUCAGAAUGAUGAAAAACCAAUCUCCAUUGAGGGACCCGACAUCAGUAAAGGAAACAAGAAAAAGAAAUUAUAUCGUGUUGAUAUUCUCCGUUGUGAAAGUCUAGCUUCUCUAACUCCUGCUACUCUAGAUCGUUUGUUUUCCCGUGACUAUGAUAUUGUUGUGUCAAUGAUUCCUCUUCCACUUACGACUGUUCUUCCUGGACCGUCAGGCCCUGUUCAUUUCGGUCCUCCCUCCCAUUCAUCCAUGACGCAGUGGAUGAAACUGGUAUUGUAUUCAACCGUGGGCACUGGGCCUUUGUCGGUUAUCUUAAUGAAAGGGCAGUGUCUGCGGAUGCUUCCUGCUCCACUAGCUGGCUGUGAGAAAGCUCUCAUUUGGUCUUGGGAUGGAUCUUCGGUUGGUGGUUUAGGAAACAAGUUUGAAGGUAACUUGGUCAAGGGAGGUAUUCUGUUGCACUGUUUAAAUUGCCUUCUCAAGUGCUCAGCUGUUCUCGUUCAGCCUCUCAGCAAACAUGAUCUUGAUAGCUCUGGAAGAAUAGUUACUUUAGAUAUACCAUUACCCCUAAAGAACUCUGAUGGUUCCAUUCCUCAUUUCGGCGACGAGCUUGGACUUCCCCUUGAGGAAAAUACAAAGUUAAACUCUCUCUUAACUAAACUGGCAAACAACAUGGAGUUAAAGACAGUUGGUUACAUUCGCCUUUUGAAACUCUUUAAAGCAAAGGAGUCGUCGGAUAACUUUUCUCCGGAUAAUAAUGAGAAGUAUGAAUGGGUUCCUUUAACUGUGGAGUUUGGGUUUCCACUAUUUAGUCCAAAGUUGUGCAACAAUAUCUGCAAAAGAAUCGUCUCGUCACAGUUACUUCAAGCAGAUUCACUCAUCGAACAACACAAUGCAAUGCAAUGCAUAAGGAAAAGGUUGAAAGAUAUAUGUGGACAGUACCAAGCAACAGGUCCAUCAGCUAAACUUCUUUACCAGAAAGAACAAGCAAAGGAGCCUACCCGGAAUAAUAAGCUCAUGAACUACGCAAGUGGAAGGUGGAACCCACUCGUGGACCCUUCCUCACCGAUUUCAGGAGCCACAAGCGAAUUUCAACGGCUCAAACUAGCUAAUCGCCAGCGUUGCCGGACUGAAGUUCUGAGCUUCGAUGGUAGCAUCCUUAGGUUAGUUUCAAUUCCUUUCCAUGUUUCAUGAAUUUGUUUUUUCUUUGCUUGGUUGUUGAGAAGUUUUGGGGGGUGGUCGCAGAUCCUACACCUUGGCACCAGUAUAUGAGGCAGCCACAAGGAGCAUUGAUGAGAAUGCACCUUCAAGUACAGCGAAAGCAGAUGCUGAUGAAGCAGAUAGCCGAGAAGUGAUUCUUCCAGGACUAAAUCUUCUCUAUGAUGGUUCAGAGUUGCACCCUUUUGAUAUUGGCGCUUGCCUUCAAGCUCGUCAACCAGUUGCUCUCAUAGCAGAAGCUGCUGCUGCGUCUGCAUCCCUCGCCCCAAAGUAGACUAGUACUCAAAAAAGAUUCUAAACCAGAUUUCAUUCGACUUUAAGGAAAAGGUAAAUGUUGAAUUUGGUUUUGGUUUAAGUUUGCCGACUAAAACGAAUGACAAAAGAUCUAACUCCGCUACAUGUAUUUGAUUGCAGGUCGGGUUUUUGUUUGUUUGUUUUACAUCCGCCGCGACCAUCAGACCAUACUGAUGUUGCUUACUAGCAAUGCAGUAGGAAUUAUACGAUAUAAAUAUUUGGCUAACGAGCGAUAUUGAAUGUAUCCUUAUACCCAUUUGUAUGCUUCGCUUGAAUCUUUUUUUUGAAGACUGUAGUGUCAAGGAAGCUGUGGUUUAUAGAGGAUGUUAUAGAGUUUUGGGUUGGGAUGAAAAGUGUGUUGCACAGAUUUUAUAUCAAUUUGUUCCACAAUUGAUUUGCCCGGUUAUUAGAUGAAAGUCUUUUUUUCCUAAUAACAAAUUAGAUUUUCAAAUUUCAACACAAAAAAAAAAAAAAAAUCUCUUUUGGCUACGUGUAUGUGUUUACAUCAUUAUGAUCUUAACAUCAUUUGCUAAAAUUUUAUCAAAGAUGUAAUUAAUAGUAAUUACAAAAUCAAUAUAUUAAAAUUUAAAAAUCAUUAGAACUCUCAUAAAUUAAACUCACAUUGAGAAAAUACCACAUUACUAUAAUUCAUAUUAAAAAAAUAUUAAAACUACAUCUUCUAAUAUUUUCGACCUAUAAUAAAGUUUUAAUAUUUCCUCCACAAAAAUCAUUACCAUAAUAGAAUUUCAUGUCUUUUGACUAUUUUCCCUUAAUUUGUAGUGAAAUUAAUGGCUAGGCAAGAUUUAUUAAAAUAUAAAUUUGGCUGAUGAUAGCAAUCUCCAUGAGCUAUAGACGUGUAACUAGGAUUACCCUGUACUUUUAUCCCUGUCUAAUUUAGCAUAUACUAUAUAUAAACUUCUUAAUAUUACUUAAAUCAAUAAUAAUCUCCCUAGUUAGAAAAUUCUUUAUUUUUUUUUUAUUUUUUUUUGAAUAAUCAAAAAGGUUAUGGGCGGAAGCCCAUAAAUCUGAAAUAUACUAGAUCACUUCUCAUGGCCACUAUAGAUUAGUAUAGAACCGAGCUUCAUGUCUUUUUACUUUACAUACACAUAAUACUAACAUGCACACAGAAACAUGUACUAUAUGUUACGUAAAUGAAGAAGAUCUCAUGGAGCUAUAUAUGUGUAAAUUUGUUACUGAAAUUAGAGAGAUGAUGCCCAGAAGGUGGUGGGCUAGUGGUAGGGGAGCUUAGGAGGAAGGGUGCAACUCCCAGGUUGUCUCCACUUUGCUGUUAACACCAUUUUUCUUGGAAGUCUGUCAGUUGGGCUUAGGUCCAAUUGGUUUACCUGAUAAUCAGAAAUGUAGGCGGUCUAAUUCCCCUCGGGCAUUAGUCGGAAAGCGUUAAUCUGGAUUCAGACGAUGUGGUAGCCCAACACCUAGGUAUUGGCGACGAGUCCACAUUGUAGCACCUCGGUGUGAUCCUCCCAGAGCUGACCGGAUCAGCCGAUCGGGUUUAUCACAAAAAAAAAAAAAAAAAUUAGAGAGAUGGACCUUGUGCUUCCUUUCAGUUCGAGACAUGCGAAAGGCUUGAAGGCUUUUGCGCUUCGAAAAGGCAAGAUAUUAAGUGGUCGCCUCCACGAACAUAUGGAACAACCACAUGCAUAUUUGGAGCUGUCUUGCCUGUAGUUUGAAACAUUGCCAAACAAGUUUUUUGUUUGGUUUGUGAAUAUUGGUUUCACUAUAUAUAUAGAGGAUUACAGAUGAAUAUUUGGAUGCAAAAUGCAUUUAUUGUAAAACAGUUUUCUUGGUGAAUAAAUUUUACAUGAAAAGUACUUGGGUUUACCCCUAGGGAUGAACUACUCUUGUUCACCCCCUCUUAGUUAACCAAUCAAAAUACAACAAUAUGCCAUGUUAAUUUUUUAUCUAAAAAUGUAAAUCAAAAUUAGAAUAAAAAAUAAAACAAAUUCUGAAAGAUUUUUAUUAAGAAAAUAUAUUUCGGUUUGGGUUUAUAAAAAAGUGGUUAGAGUUUAGAUUUUGUCAUCAAACGGAAUUAUAUUUCGGUUUGGGUUGACAAAAUAAUGGUUAGAGUCUAGAUUUUGUAAUUCAACGAAAUUAUAUUUUGGCUUGGGUUGACAAAAUAGUGGUUAGGGUUUAGAUUUUGUAAUUAGACAAAAUUAUAAUUCGGUUUGGGUUAAUAAAAUAGUUUUUAGUGUUUAGAUUUUAUAAAUAAACGAAAUUAUAUUUUCGGUUUGGGUUUAUAAAAGAGUGGUUAAGGUUUAUUUUAUUUUUGAUUUAUUUUUUAAAUAUAAUAAGACAUGACAUAUUGUUGUAUUUUGAUUGGCUAAUCCGGUGAAUAAGUCCUAGUGGUGAACCCAAGUAUUUGCCCAUUUUACAUUCAUGAAAAACAAUUCCCUAAUAACACUAAACUAAAAUCUGUAUAACGUCAUUUAGACCACUAUUUUCGUAAUAAGAAACAUAAUUAUUUAAUUACACGUAAGUUUAUAUCGCCUCUAGGUACGUAGAAAAUGAUAAGCCAUUCCAUUGGGUAAAACACUAUCUUCACAACAUCACGUUUGAAUUUUAGUUUUGUUAGUCUUUUCGUUUAAAUUUUACAAAUCAUAACUUACUAACUUUUGUUUUGCUUAGAUCGGAUGAUUGCUUUAGUGUUUUGUUCUUUUUUUCUCGUGGAUUCACAACUUUGUAUGCUACUCAAUAAUAUAACAAUAUACUAUGUGGUAGAGACUAGAGAGUGAAUAAAAUUGUAACAUUUUACUCGUAUCACUCAGUAGGAGGAAUCCUCGCGUGUGAAACAAUCGUAAUCAGACACGUUCUUAGCUAAUCAGACAAUCUUAUAAAUGAAACAUGAUUCAGAUUGAGACAUUGCUGAAAAUAAUUUGGAGCAACGAAUAAUUCAUGCUAGAAAAUAAUUUCCACAUGUUCAUUAAUGAGCAACGAAUAGUUAUAUAUAAAGUACUCAAUAGUAGUUUUGAUUGCAGCAACGAAUAGUCAUAUAUAUAGUACUCAAUAGUAGUUUUGAUUGGAGCAACGAAUAAUUCGGAAUAAAUUCCAAAUUUCACAAGGCAGACUUAGGUAUAUGGUAUUCAAAUUUCAGAUAGUACCACUAAUCACUUUAGUGAACUACAUAAUCUACGGAGCCAACUGAUUUGAAAAUAGCACGUUCAUCUCGCUUUUUUGUUCAUUUUGGCCUAGUAGAGUCGGAAACUCGGAGCCUAUCACAGAAAAGCUACCCGGGGUCCUCUCAAGCGCCGAGCAAUUCGCGAUGAAAAAAGUAGUCCUUCUUGCCGGAGCUGAAAUAGCCGGGUGCAUGUGAAGAGGUUUUAUUUGUGUUUUGAAAUCAUAGUUUAAUAUAAAUGGUUUGAAAUAUAGUCUAAUAUAAUUUAUAGAUUAUUAUCCUCCUAAGAUCAAGUGACUAUUCAAUUCUUGAAAACUAAAUAUCAAACAUUGUAGUAUCAUUUUUAAUCUCUCGAUAGUAGUUGUCUCAAGAUAAUAUCACACCAUUAUGCAGCAUGAGCUUACACACUCUGAUAUAUAAAACAUAAGACUGUGGGAAAGAGUUAAUUAGUAUCAUCUUCUUGGCGUUGGAAGUGAACAAAGUUUGAUCGUAUAUCAGAUGGAAUACGAGUAACGCGGUACUUGUUGUCAAGCCAGACACCAGUUCCUUUUGCCUCCAAAAUAGGCUGCUUUGUUCAUCACACACCAAAACAAUCCUAAUUAGAUCUCACAAGUAAUAAACCAACACAAAGGCUUGACGGGAGCAACAAAACUAACCUCUUGAUUUGGAAGUUUAUAAAUGAAAUGUUCAAAGUAAACGCGCGCAAUAGUUACUCCCGUUAUCCUCGAUUUCACCACGAAUUUGCAUCCACUCUGCUCAGAGAAAUCAAUUAGUCAAAUAUACAAAACUUUUGAGACUAUAAAUUAAAAUGUAACAAGUUUUAGGAAAAGAGUGGUCAAAGUUACACGUAAAGGUGCAAGGAACUUUAUUGUCAACUCAGAAAUUGCCAAGGCUUCACCAGAACGAGCUAUUUCUUCACAACUAAUACCGAUACUUUCCAAAAACUCGUGUCGACCUUAGUAAGAAAACAAGUUGUACAAAACAUAUUUGGUGAGAACUGUAUGUAGGUUAUAAGUCUUAGACCGUCAUUAUUAAUGGUCUCUUAACAAAUGUUAGAGCUAAGAUUUGUUAGAGAGACUCUUAUAUAAGAGCCAUUUAUUAGCAAAUCUUAUCCUUAAUAGUAUAACCACGCAGUAGUCUCUAACUCGACUCCAUAUCUGAGACAGCGACGAAAGUUAACUUACUAUGUUGGCAGUAGUUUGCGUAAACAGCAUUGUUCACAACACCAAAUUGAUCCAGUUCAUAAUCGCGAACUUUAAGUUCAAUCUCAUGGAACCCAUUCAUUCUGCCAUAUGGAAAUUUAAUAAGUUUAUAUAAAUAUGAAAUAUAUCAAAUCACUCCCUCUUGGCCACGGUAGAAAUGUUAAGUAUACAUAAGAGACAUUUGAUUUAUUACAUAGUUAGAGAAGAGGAUAGCAUGGAGCUAUAAAUUUGUGAAAACAUUAACUUUGAUGAUUUCAUGGUGUUUCAUAUUCAUAUUCAUAUUGUGCUUUAAAACUAAAAAAAAAUAAUGAUAAGUAAAACCUACAAAAGAAAUAAAUUAAUGUUUGAACAUAAUUUGAAAAAACUAUCGCAUGGCCUUAUAUUUUUGAAUUAACCUUAGGCUUCUUUACGCGUAAAUUGUGGUCUGAAGCAAAAAAAAAACCUUUUUUCCUGUUUUUAUAAUUUAAAGUACUAAGAAAAUAGUAUAGUUUUAACAAAAAACCCAACCAAGAAAUAAACAAUAAAAUAGCAAAACUUUGAGGGAAAAAACUAAUUAGUCUCCUUAAAUAUAAGUCUCCUUAUAAAAAAUAUAAACUACUCAUUUUUUUUUUUUUUUCCUUUUUUGUUGAUGUUUAGAAUUCUAAUCUUUAAAAAAGAAAAAAAAUCAUAAAGAAAUAUCACAUAUGAUAAAAUCAUAAAAGAAAGAUAAAAGAAAGGUCAAAAUAUUCUCACACAAACCAUUUUCUUCGUUAAAAGAACUAUGCAAGUCCAAAUACUAUAUAUAUCAAAACCCGUUACACACAGUAUCAUAGCAAAACUGUGGCCUCAUAAAAGUUUAAAAUCUAGGGCAAGCGGCAUGAGUAUGGACUGAGUAUAUAGUAGUUAAUAAACCGAUGUUAAAUAUUUGCAUAAGUAUUCCAAGUAUCAUUUCUAUAAGUGAUGUAAUAUUCCUUUGUAUCACAUAUAAUUAAUGCAAAUUAAAGAUGCAAAAUAAAUGAUACAAUCAACUCAUUUAUGUAUAUCUACAAACUUUAAGGAUUACACUACAAGAAAACAUAUCGAUUUUCGACCACCAUUUCCGACCAAAAUAAUAGUCGGAAAUUUUCCGACAAAUUUCCAACCAUUUUCCCACUAAUGUAUAGGUUUUGGCUUAUAAAUUAAAAUUAGAUAUAUAUGUACCCUUUGCAUCCUUUUAGUUCGAGGCAUGAGAGAGGCUUGAAGGUUUUUGCACUUCGAAAAGGCAAGCUAGGUGGUCGUCUCCACGAACAUGGAAACACCAAAUGAGUAUUUGGAGCCGUCAUGCUGGUAGCUUGAAACAUUAUUGCACUAUUUUGGAAUGAGGAUACCCUAGCGUGAUGAGUACGUAGUUGACAACUUUUUUUUUUUUUUUUUUUUUUGUAGUUGACAACUUUUUAGUUUGGUAUAUAUAGAAGAAUACAGAUGUAUUUAACAUGUUUACGUAACUUACAGUAUCUUCUAGAGUACAGUAUAUAAAAACAAUCAGUCUACGAGUACAGUAUCUUGGUCCAUCAUGAUAGGUAACCAAGAUGGUUUGUGUUAGGGUCAUCGACGAAUAAAAAUUGAUCAAUUUAUUUGUUUGUUUAAGGGCGAUUAGGGUUUAAGGGUUUGGAUUUCUGAAACACCCUAACCCGGAAACUAAAAAUUCAUCGGAGAAAACAUUCCGACGAGACUUCCGGCGAGAAAUCAACUUAAUAAAAACAUACUUAAAAACAUGCGUAAACCAUUUUAAACACAUUUAUAACGAACAUAACUCCAUACAAUCAACAAUAAGAACACAUUUACCUCCAUGUGUACCUUAUCGAAUCGGAGUCUCUGAAUCGCACAUCAUCCAUCCGUAUCAACCUUGCUAAUGAUCCAGCCUUCAUGACUCCAUUCUCGCAUCACCGAACACGUCUCCUUCAUUCAUCGCUCACCAUCCCUUAUUGUUUCUUAGUCACACAACCAACCAUCCCCAAGUGACCGAGUAACAAUAAGAGAUGGGCUGGAUGCUUGAUCCGUCCAGCCGCGGACAUUCUUCUCCGCCAAUUGCUACGUUCGACCCUUGGUCGCCAAUCAUCAGUCAUUCUCGAUCCGAUCAUACACGCUUCAACCAUCCUUCGAUUAUUACACCGGCACACUAGCUGUAUCGCGUGAUAUCGCAAUAGGAUUCCCAUCCGAACAUACAUAUCGCCAGAUAGCCCAUCUAACGAUUCUUAAUAACGAUCUUUCGGCCACCGACGUACACACUCUCGAUACCAUUAAUCUCCCUCGAGUACUCUCGAUAAGACAUACUUAGAAACCUGUUCCUCGAUUUCUCCAUAGAACAUCUUCGAUCGUCCAUCACCUCUCGAUGCGAUCCGUUUAUACCUCGAUCGUUUCGCCCACCGAGACUAUUUCAUACGUUUCCACCGGAUUCUUCAUCCGCAAUAAUCGUCGAUCUCGAUCCAAGAAUACAAGAUCUCGAUCCUCAUAAAAUACUCUCGAUAACUCUCACUCUUUUUCUCUUCUUUCUCGAUCUCUUCCUUGACGGCGCUCAAAACGCACAAUAACGAAUGAUAAACCCUAGUUCCAUCGAGCCAUCUUUUAUACUCUCGAGUAAACAGCCGAUCCUCCGAUAUUCUCUCGAGAAUAUUCGCAUAUCCCAACACUUAGUCGAUAAACUCGACUUAAUAUCCUUUAUUCGCACCCACACUCGCAGGCCACGAGUUUGGGCCGAUAGAAAGCCCACGGACUAGCACUUUAUCGAUAGCCACUCGACCAAUUCUGUCCGGACAUCGAUAGCUUCCGACAACCAUCCGAAAAUUCGGCAUUCUAGAUAAGCUUCCGACAAAACAUGUCCGAAAGACACUCUUGUCCGAACCAACCGAACAAUACAUCGAUCCUCACCGAAUAUUCGGAUUUCCAUCCGCUAAUACCGAUCCUUAUCGAUAAACCUUCGAUCACAUCUAACAUUUUCUCGAUCAUGGAAAAAUCCUUCGAUAAACUUACACAUAUACUCGACAAUAGGCUUCCGGAUACCAUCCAAGAAAAGCCGGAGACGGGCGUUACAAUUUCCCUCUACGAGUGAAUUCUAGGAUUCAUUUCUAUUCUUUAUAAGCAAUUAGAAUUUGACACCUGAUCAGUUAAAUUAAAAUUAUUUAUCUGUAUAACAAAGAUUAACAUAAAUCGUUAAAUUAAAUCAUAUAACAAUAUAUCCAGGAAAAUACUUAGGUUCAUCCAGGAAAAAUACAACAAUAUGCCAUAUCUUUUUCUUUUUUAAAAAAAUAAAUCAAAAUUGAAAUCAGAAAAAUAAAACAAAUUACGGAAACAAAUUAUGCAAGAUAUUUUACUAAGGAAAUUAUAUUUCAGUUUGGGUUAAUACAAGAGUGGUUAGAGUUUAUAAUUAUAUUUCGGUUUGGGUUCAUAGAAUAUUAAGGUUUGUUUCAGUUUCUGAUUUUGAUUUUGAUUUCUUUUUUUAAAUAUAAUAUGACAUGUCAUAUAGUUAUAUUUUGAUUGAUUAAUUAAGAGGGGGUGAAUAAGAGAGAUUCACCCCUAAGGGUGAACCAAAGUAUUACUUAUCCAGAGUCUAUAUAUCCGUUUUGAUAUAUAAGAAAGAGACAAUGUUUUUUUUUGUGACAAUUAUAAACGAAACAAUUAUAUCGGUUUGGGCUUAUAAGAGAAUAUUAUGGUUUAUAAAUUACAUUUAAACGAGAUUAUAUAUCGGUUUAAGGUUACAUGUUGAUUUUGGUUCAUUAAAAAUGGUUAGGUUUUAGAACGAGGUUAUAUGUCGGUUUGGAUUUAUAAUAGAGGAUUAUAAUUUAUAUUUCACAAUCAAACAAAAUUAUAUGUCGGUUUGAAUUUACAAAAAACUGAUUAGAGUUUAAAAUUAUAAUUAGACGUGCUUAAGUGAUGGUUUCGACUUUAUAAAAAAGUGAUUAAGGAUUAGAUUUUAUCAUUUUAUUUAUUUUAUUAGUACGUAGAUGCAUGGUACAUUCUGAUCGAUUAGAAAAAGAGGGAGCGAAUAAAAUGAUUCAUCCAAGAAGUGAACUCAAGUAUGAAGAUGCAGUUCCAGAAUAGCUUGAUGUGAAGAUCAGGAAGCUGCAUCUGUUCAGACGCCUGAGAUCACAUCAGACGCCUGGGAUCACAUCAGACACUUGAAGUUGAUGACAUGGAGUCGUAGGAUGACGUGGCAAAGCUUAAGUGGAUGGAGUGACGUGCUAAGGAAGAUUUCUUGCUUGGCAGCAAAGAUAGAGACGAAUUGCGUGUGAAGAUAUUGUGAAUAUUCUUCACAUCAAAUAAGGAAAGGAUGAGCUUGACAAGCAAGCAUAUUCCGUUUCGGUGAGAUCCUCGAAGAUCCUAGGGUUAGGGUUUCGAGUAGUUAGUAUAAAUAGUCUAGGGUUGGCCACGAGCCACUUUGAACACUUUAGACUCUUUGUACGUGAUUGUAAACUUCGAAGCUAGCAAAACAAAAAGCUGAGAAGGUGAGUGUUUAUUUUCUCUUGGGACUACACGGGUGUAGGAGAGAUAGGUUUUAGUGCUCGUUCUUUAGUCGGGUUCAAUUCUAUUGGGAGGAAUAGAUUGAGUAAGAGCCGAGACAAAAUUGUAUCCUAGGAAAAGAUAAAUUUUGUUAAUAAAGAUCGAAGGAAAAAGCGUUUGCUUGGCGCGUUCCAAGCGUAACUGUCUGUGUUUCUCUAUACGUUUUCAAAGUAUUGUUCUUAGAAGAAUUAAUUUGUUUGAUUAGCUAUAACAAAGUAAAAAGACGAAAAAUUCACCAAUCUAAAAUCUUCUAAAAUCCUAGUUUCAAUACACCCCCUAAUUCUUUUGUAUCAAGAUUCACACAAUACCUAAUUAAAGAACAAAAGCAUUUAGGCAUCUCUACAUUAAUAUCGCAUAUGAUAAAUGAUAACCAUUUUGGUUUCCAUUUCAAAUGAAAAUCCGUAACGUUAUAGCAUUCGUCAAUCAUUCUUUUUAGGGGUAUUUUCCAAAUUUAAUUGUGAGAGGGUGUAUUAAAAAUCUACAUGAAGUCACUACAUCCUAGGGCUCCCACAAAGUCAAAUUCUAAAUUACUCGUCGAAACUAAGGGGGUGUAUUCAAAGUAACAUUUUAAGAGAUUUGAGUUUUAUUGAGAUUUCGAUGAUUUUCGGUAACUUCAUAUGAUUUAUGUAAAAUCCUUUCAAAUCCCACCUAAAACUAUGAGAUUUAGAUUCUUAUAUUUUUAAGUAAGGAAGUUAUCUGAAAUCCUCUGAAAUAAUUUAAAAUCAAAUCCACAAACUGUUUUCAAUAACAGUGGAUUUUAAGGUGGAUUUUAAAAUGAUUAGUUCAAUAACACUGGAUUUCAUGAGACUUUUUAAAAUUCAUGAUUGAAUAACACUAGAUUUGUAAACUUUUUACAAAUCACUUGAAAUUCCACUUUAAAUACACUCCCCUAAAUUCUUGUGAUACAACGGUUAGUAUAUAUUUAGAUAAAAAAAAGAUUAUAAAGUUAGACAUUCUUAUAUUGAAGUAAUUAAAUUAGUAAGGAUAAAAUUGUUUUUUAUGUUUUAUAAAAUGUUCUUGUUGAAAAGUAUUGAGCUAAAAGCCAAAAAGAGCAUUUAAAAGUUCGAUAAGCUUUUUGAUAAAACAUGAUUGGAUGUUAAAAGACAUCCAAACUUGACUGAAUACAACAAAGAUAUACCCAAUCUUAAAAACAUCAUGAGAUGCUAUAUAUAGGUGUUCAUAUUUAUGAAAUGUUGAAGUUACAACCAAAUCUUGAAGAUGCUAGAUUGAACCAAUCCGAGAACAUAGAUAAAACUCCUAUCCAAAGAUUUGAACACCGUUUAAAGAUAACCUUUACAAGAGUCAUAAUCGAAAGGUUCUAACUCCUACCAAGAGAUUCGACAAUAGCAAAAUCUUCUAUCAUUACUCAUUAGCGCGAGAGGAUGAACCAUGACAAGUCUUAUGAGAGGGUGCGAAGCGUUGUGACAAUAUGACAAGUUUCGAUUUAAUAUUAAAGAGGCUGAGUAUACCGAAACUCAUAAUCUAGUAUUUUAAAUAAUUUGAGUUUUCAUGAUUUUUUAAAUGAUUUUGAUGAUUUUAGGGAAGCUUGUAAAACCAUUCAAAUCUCAGCUAAAACUCUAAAAUUAUGAAAUAUUUAUUUAUGUAUUUUUAAUUAAAGAAUUCCUCUCAAAUCCUCAUAAUAACAACUACUCAAAUCUGUCAACAAAAAAAAAACUACUCAAAUCUAUAAACUGUUUUUAAUUACUAGUUUUUUUUUUUUGGACAAGAAUUACUAGAUUUUAAAAUAUACUUCUUAAUUAUUAGUUCAGUAACAUUGGAUUAUUUAGAUUUUUAAAUUCAUUAUUGAAUAACAUAAGAUUUCAUAAAUUUUACACAAAUAACUUAAAAUAUUUUAUUGAAUACACUUUUUAAAAGUUAAUUGGAACCAAUGAAGACCAACUAUAGACCAAAGAUCUUGUUAGAGGGAAGUAUCUGUUAGAUUUAAGUAGAUGAAACAUCGCCAAAGAUUAUAACGACAUCACUUGGUUAUUGCUGUUGGGUUCUUUAACCCAAGUCAACUUUCCAUUAGUAUGAUAUUGUCCGCUUUGGGCCUAUAACUCAAGCCCGCACGGAUUUGUUGGGCUCCUUCCCAAAAGGUCUCAUAAUAAUUGGAGUUGGACUUGACUUAUAUAUUUGAAACUUAUCUUUCUAAUCUUCCGGUGUGGGAUAUUGGUUUGUAUUCCAAUACUCCCCCUCAAACCAUAUCCAGGUUCACAAUCUUGACCUAGGCUCUGAUACCAAUUGUUGGGUUCUUUAACCAAAGUCAACUUUCCAUUAGUAUGAUAUUGUCCGCUUUGGACCUAUAACUCAAGCCCGCACGGAUUUGUUGGGCUCCUUCCCAAAAGGCCUCAUACUAAUUGGAGUUGGACUUGACUUAUAUAUUAGAAACUUCUCUUUCUAAUCUUCCGAUGUGGGAUAUUGGUUUGUAUUCCAAUAAUUGCGGUGGUCGGGAGUGAGAGAGUGACAACAACACCAAAUAGAAACAUGCCUAAACACAGGGUGUGAAUGGUUACAGCGGUUUGAGCGGACAAAAUAAUUUAUGGAUCGAACCGCUUUUUAUUUACCAUUCACUAAUUGUGUCCGUAGUGGUGCGGUUUUAAAGGAAACAAAAGAAAACCCGCUGUAAACCAAGUGCAGACCGUUUUUAUGUACAAAUAAAGCUGGACCAUUGCGGUUUGUUGUCCACCCUAAAAAUAGAGUGGACUAAACUCCUGACAGAUUUGUCCAUUCCAACCGCUGUAAUCAUUCACACCCAUAGAAGCUACAAACAGAGGGUUCCUAAUGUUGGUGAAUCGUGGCUUUACCAAUACAAGAUAUCGUGUUGAUCUUGAAUGCCUUGAUAAUUGUUCUUGAGAGAGAGAGAGAGAGAGAGAAGUGAACCGGAAUGUAUUUGAUUGUAUCUACAAUGAAAUCUAUUAUAGUAAAUGAAUCGACAAUGAGUAGAGAGAUUUAUUUAUUAUAUAUUAGUCUAAAAUUUAUCAAAAUCUCGAUGUAGAAAAAUUCUAAUACACAUUCAUGAUCGAUAUCUAAAAGUGAAAUUUCUUAGUCUGGUUUUUUUUUUGGCAGCAUGUUGAAGAGAAAUUAAAGAGAAAAGCUUCUACAACUGAAUCUUGUUUUGAUGGGUUGUUAUGGAGCAGUUUCUGUUUCCCAAAUUUCCUCUUAUGAUGAGUGGUUUGGAUCUUAUUGCCGGUCUUUUCUGCCUCUAUUGCAAAGAUUUUAACACCUCAUUUUGUAUAUUGAUUCUUUAGGUUCUUUGGUUAUGAUAUAUCUCCUUUUUUAUCAUGUGGUGGUAUUUUGAUCCUAUGUUACCUUAGUUUGUAUAUUUUUGUUCUUGUUAAUUGUAAUUUCUCUUCUUGGUAGAGUUUGUAGAAAUAUAAAAUUAGAAAAUAAAAAGAUAUACAAUAAUUGCAAUUUCCUAAAAAUAUUUAUUUUGGUAAUGAUUUCCUUGUAAGAUUUAAGCUGCAUCUUUCUUAUCUUUUGAGCCAAAUUUUUUUUUUGGUAUCAAAAAAGUAGAAGAAUUAUUUUUUUAAUUAGUGGAUUCUAUUCAGGUUUAUUGCUGAUAUCCAAAAUAGAAAAAUUAUUUCAUGAUUUGACCUUUACAUUGGACGAUUGAUUUUAUCUUGAUUGAACAUACAAAAGACAAAACCAAAAGUCACCCAAUUUAUAUCAUGUUUUCAGUUUCAAUCUUUAGGUUUUGCAUGGAAAAUUGAAUCAUUGUGACUUUUGUUAGAGACUAAAAUAUUUAAUCACAAAUUUGUGACUUCGUAGAUACAAUUUCGUAACAUUUUUUUGACAUAAAUUCAUAAUUGUUUCGUCAUAAUAUUAUAAGGAACAAAGUCGUCCCUAAGUAUUGUCUCAAAUCGUGAUGAAAUAGUGUCGAUAAUACUUAGGGACGACUUUAUUCCUUAUAAAGUAAAUGAAAAUUUGAACUUAAAGCUAAACAUCCAUCUUAAGCUUGAUUCAGGUGUAUCCAACUCAUAUUUACCACUUAGUCCCUGCUUAAACAACAUGAUUAUCAAUUGAUAAUACACCAAAAGGGGCAUUUCUCAAAAAUUCUCUUCUUUUAGUACAAUAGAUAGAAUAUCGAAUUUCACCAAAACAAAAUAGAUAGAAUAUUGAACAUUAUAUUGUUUUUUUAUAUAGAAAAUCAAGUAUAAAUUUUGAAGUUAAUAAUAACUAUACUGAUCUUUAUAUCAUUAUAUGUUGAAUCACAAACUAAGUAUAAUAAUUAUUAUUGUAAAAAAUGUAUUACAAUUUUUUUGGAGGUAAGAAAGAGUUAAGAAUAAUUGAUUUGAUAGACAAAAAUUUCAUUUGUUAAAAAAUUACAUACUUUCUAAAUAAAAUAAAUAUACAUGGAUAUGUAAGAAAUAAACAAACAUCCAAACUAAAGAAUGAAGAUGCUUUCUUUAGCUUGAUUUUCUUAUUGUGCGAUGGUCGGAAAUCAAUAUUUUUGAAUCUCCAUCGAUAAUAUCAUUUUAUUAUAGCUAGAAAAUAUCAUUAGUAUGUAUUAUUUAUUUAAAUAUAUAAGAAAACAAUGAAGAAAGAAAGAAAUACAUAAAAACAAAAAAAACUUGAAAAAGUAAAAUAUAGUUAAACCAAAUAUAUAAUCAAUCUCUUACAAUGAUAUCUUAAUUGAGUUUUCAACACAUGCAAGAACAUUAAAAACUAAAAAAAAAAGAAAAUAUUGAGGGUAUGAGAUGUGGUGGAGGAGGAUGUGAGAAUGGUUAUUUAUAGGAUAAAAAGUGAUGUAAGUUACAUUUCUAAAAUAAUUAAAUUAGAGGAGUUAUAAUAAUAAUUUAUUGUGUGUUAAUUAAAACUAAAUAGAGUAAACAAAAAGUCAAUUCACAAUUUAUAUUAUUUCAGUUACAAUUCAGUAGUAAAAUGUAGAUUUAAAAUAUGAAUUUAAAAUAUAUAAUUAAAUGUAUUAAAUAUUUGGUUUAAUUAAAAAUAAAUAUUAUAAUUAAAAAAUAAAUACUAAACGUACCAAUAAGAAGAGAGUGAAGUCUUACUUAUAUAUACAUGAUUCAUUUAAACUACGUUGGGUAUAAUUGUUGGUCGAACUUAUUUUAUUUUUUGUAUACGUCUCAAUGAGAAUCUAAACAAAUAUCGGUUUUAUAAGAGAUGAAUAGUGCAUAUUAUUCUCUAUACUACUGUGUUUGUUGAACACAUGUAACGCUCUAAUUGUAUAUACUACAAGAAAAUAGCGAAUUAGCGACUACAAAGGAAGUCACUAAACAAUCGCUAAACCCUCCUUUUAUUCAGGUUUCGCUAAACAAUUUUGUAAUCUCAUAAAUAACAAUUGUAUUUGUAUCUCAUGUCAAACUAGUUUUAAAAUUAUAAAAUAAAAUAUAAAUAGUUAUAUACAAAAAGUUGAUACGUGUUAUUAUCUGAUCGAUAGAUGAGACAUGUGUCACUAUUAUUUAAAUAACUAGUUUUUAAACCAAAUUUUAUAUGAUAAAAUAUUUAAAAUUCAGAAAUGAAUUAAUUUUUGGCUCAAUGUUUUCUUUCUUUUACUUGUAUCUAGUGUUUACCAGAAACCUAAAAUAGAAAAUUAAUUGCCGUAAACUAAAAAUCAUUUGACCUUGAUUGAAUGACAGAACAAAAAGCUAUGCAUGCUUUCAUGUCAGUGUAUUCAUUUCAUGUCCAAAGUAUUAAAAUAUUUUAUUUCCCAUCACAAUGAAAUAUUAAAGAUAUCAAUCUUAUCUCUUAAACAUCAUUUGUAGAAGGUGCUCAUAAAAUGAUUUGUCAAUAAUUAUAUGAUUUGCUAUAGCUUUAUCAUAAAAACUUGGAACUUUAGUGAUUUGUCAAACCACUGAUUGUCAUACUCAUUCUCGUAAAUGAUUCAAAGAUUUUUUUUUGGUGUCCUAAAAAUAAUGAGUUUUUUUUUUGUAAUUAGUGUUUUUCUUUUCUUUACAAAGCUAAAUAAAAGACCGAUUAGAAUCGCAUUAGAACUGAACCAUAAUUGUUAGUUGUUACUUAUGAAUAACAUUGGAAAUCAAUUCCUAAAUCUGGUAUGAAUGUUAACCGUGUAAAUGUUUUAUUCUCCUCAUAUAUAUAUCCUAAUAUUAUUUGAUCAACACAUAGAUUUGUUUUGAAUAAUAUGUAAACUAUAUGAGAGAUAUCCUAAAAUAGCAGUAAAACAAGUUUUAUAGAUAAUUAUAUCACACACUCCUCAAACUUAUAGUAUAAUACUAAUUACCAGUACAACAUAAUAUUCUCAAUUUUUUUAAAACAUUUUCAGGUUUGAAUUAACUAUUUUAUAUUUACGAUAUGGUUUUUAGAGGUAGAAUUAGAGUUUAGAAUUUAGAAUUAAGUUUGAAAUUUUAAUUAUAAAAUAUAGUGCCAUUUUUGAAACUUUAGAUAACGAAUGCUAAAUUUAAAAAUAUUUUUUUUUUGCGCUACUUAUGAGAUUUGCGCAAACUGAAACCAUUAAUAUAUGUUUAUUACUUGACUUGGUCUCAGUUCGGUAUGAUUUUCGUUUUGGUGGGGGUUCGGCAAAAAUAUAAACCUCGACGGCCAUUCAAUCGCUAGCUAGUUCACCUUAAUCCGUCCUCUUUCACCGUCCGACUUAACUUAUAAAUAACUCAUAAUUUUCAGAUUUUGGUUUGCCUACAAAAAAAAAAAAAAAAAAAAAAAGUGGUCGAACACAAUCCCUAAUUUGAUGGACUAUGAAUCAUAAAUGCCUGGGAGCAACCCAAUCCCUAAAGAAAAAUUAGCUAGCUUUUGAGAACGACUCAAAUCUAUUAAAUUGCAAUAUGAUUUUAGGUUUUAUUUAGAGAUAUUAGUAUAUUACAUUACUCAUAUACUAGAGGACUCAUCACGCACAUACAAUAAAGCCAAGCAAAAGAGUCCCUCCUUAAUCAUUUCAACGAAGAACUGGAUCGGAGCAGUCUCUCUGGGUGAACCACCUUCUCAUGAAUCAUCUCACACUUCAUGUUCCACUUCACCACACUCCCAACCCCUCCAUGCUUAGGAACAGAGUAAGUAUAAAAAUUGGCAAGUGUUAUUAUAUGAUCGAUAGGCGUGACAUACGUCGUCACUAUUAUGUAAAAAAUAAAUUUUAUAUAAUAAGAUAUUCUGAAAUGAUUUAAUUUUUGGCCAAUGUUUUCUUUCUUUUACUUGUAUCUAGUGUUUACCAGAAACCUAAAAUAGAAAAUUAUUUACACUAAACUAAAAAUCAUUUGACCUUUGAUUGAAUGAGAACAAAAAUCAUUAUUGUCGUGCGUGGUUCCUUUUCAAUCUCUAGCUUUUGAUAGUAUUCAUUUCAUCUCCAAAGUAUUUAAAUAUUUUAUUUCCCAUCACAAUCAAAAUCUAAAGAUAACAAUCUUAUCUCUUAAACAUCAUUUGUAGAAGCUAAGUACUCAUGGGUUUGUCAAUAAUUACAUGAUUUGCUAUAGCUUUAUCAUAAAAACUUGGAACUUUAGUGGCUGACGUUUAUUAUGUUCCGCCAAAACAAAUAUUUUUUCUGGUGUCCUAAAAAUAAUGAUAUUCUUUGUAAUUAGUUUUGUUAUCUUACUAAAGCCAAAUAACAUCGAGUGCGUAUGUUAAUCUUUUAAUUUUUGUGACUGUUCUAUCAUAUAUAUAAUAUAUAUAUAUAGGACCCAUUAGAAUAUUCUAAAAAAAAUUCAAUAACUUUGUUCGCCAAACUGAACCAUAAUUGUAUUUCCUAUAUAUAUAUAUAUAUAUUCUCUUAUUAGUUAUUACUUAUGAAUAACCAUUGAAAUCAAUUCCUAAAUCUUGUAUGAAUGUUAACCGUGUGAAUGUUUUAUUCUAAUCUUAUAUCCUAAAAUUAUUUGAUAAAUAAAUAUUUUUUUGAAUAAUCUGUAAAUUAUUAUAUGAGAGAUAUCCUAAGGUAGCAGUAAAAAAAGUUUUAUAGACAUUUAUAUCAUACACUCCUCAAACCUAUAAUAUAUCAUACUACAGUAUUCUUAAUUUUCUUAAAAACAUUUUCAGGUUUGGAUUGACUAUUUUAGAUUUACGAAAUGGUUUUUAAGGGUAGGAUUAGAGUUUAGAGUUUAAUUUAAUUUAAUUUUUAUUUUAAAAUACAGUGUUAUUUUUGAAGCUUUGAAGAUUAUAGGCUAAACUUAGAAAUAAAAUUGGUUUUCGCGCUAUUUAUGAGAUUUGCGCAAACUGAAGCCAUAAAAAUCUGUUUGUAACUCAACUCGGCCAAAAAUAUAAACCUCGAAAGCCGUUCAAUUGCUGGCUAGUUCACCUUAGUCGGUCAUGUUUCACCGUCCGAUUUAACUUAUAAAUGAUUCAUAAUUUUAAGAUUUUGGUUUGGUUACAAAAAGAAAAAAAAAUGGUUCCCGCUUGUUUUGGUUUCCUCGAUAUUACAAUAAUGAAUGAUAUAACACUUCUGAAAAAUCCUUGUGAUUCCAAUCCUUUUGUUAGAGUCAUUGCUGCGGGGAAAUAGCAAAAAAAUCAACCCAGACUAUUUGUUGGCGGUAUUUUCAUACCCAAACUAUAAUAUCCGACAAAUAGCAACCUAAACUCUCAAAAAUUCAAAUUCUCAACCUAAAUUAUAUGAAAUCAACCAAAAUCAACAUAUACCGAAACGAUAUUAGUUAACCACUUAACAGCGAUGAGUCAACCGACACCGUCUCAAUGACAUGACAUCGGAGUUGAGUAAAAUGACGUUGUUUCGUGAGUUUAGGGUUCUCAAAUUGAAGAUUCGAUGAGUGUUUGCUUUUAGCAAUACUUUGAUUCGAGAAUCCUAAACUCAAGAAACGACGUCAUAUUUACUCACCUCUGAUGUUCCGUCAUUGCCUCGGUGUCGGUUGACUCAUCGCCGUUAACUAACACUGUUUCAGUAUAUGUUGAUUUUGGCUGGUUUCAUAUAGUUUAGGUUGGGCAUUUAAAUUUUUUGUGAGUUCGGGGUGUUAUUUACUGAUGCAUGAGAGCAACCAAUCCCUAAAAAAAAAUAAGCUAGCUUUUGAUGACGACUCAAAUCUAUAGAAUUGCAAAACGAUUUAAUCUAAGGGAUAUUAAGGUUUUAGGUUUUAUUUAGAGAUAUUACAUUACUGAGAAAGACAUACAAUACACAAGAGGACUCGUCACACACACAAUAACACUCAAGCCAAGCAAAAGAGUCCCUUAUUAUUCCUCACACAAGAGGUAUUGGUCAACCUCCUUAAUCAUUUCAACGAAGAACUGGAGCAGCCUCUCUGGAUGAGGCACCUUCUCAUGAAUCCUCUCAUACUUCAUGUUCCACUUCACCACACUCCCAAUCCCUCCAUGCUUAGGGCUCACCUUCAUCGUUUUCAAGAAGCUCUUGUACUCUUUCUUCAAAGGUCCCUCUAAAACCCUCCAUUGAAUCAUAUUCUUCUCCAUAUCCAUCACCUCGAUCCGAUCCUUCGACACUCUUGGCUCUCCAUCUGCACCAAAAGGCGUUUAUAUAUAAACCAUACUGAAAAGUUUAUCUUCUUGCCUAAAAUUAUAUGUAAUUUUCAUUACCAACUAUUAACUUCCACAAGAGUAUGCUUCCAACUUUGUCCCACUCUCCUUCGAGCAGAUCACAUCCCUGAAUGUAACGAGUGGCUUUGGAGACGUGUUGCGGUCUUCUCGCGAACAUGUGAAACUUAGAAGCCGUAGUUUUGAUCUCUACUUCAGCUUCAAUCUCCUCCUCUGCCAUUUUUUCGCUGCUUUGUUUCUCUAUGUCCAUGCAUGGACUUAAGUGAAUUGCAAUUAGAAUGAAUGAUUUACUUUGAGUUCGUAGCUCCUUUUAUAAAGAGGAUGGAGUGAGAUGUGAUUAAUGACUCAGCUUUUUUUUUCUUUUUCUUUUUUUUUUUCUUAAAAAUUAAAAGAUUGAAGACUGCAAGGUGAAAUUCUAAGCAAAAUAAAUUUAAAUAUAAAAAAGUACAAAUAAAAAUUUGGAAUUUUUUUCCCUCAACAGAUUUGUAAAGUUAGGAUAUUAAAUUAUCUAGUAUUGAGAAGGAUGAGUAUUGGGAUCUCUCUCUCUCUCUAUUGGUUUCAUUUCUUGGUUUAAUAAUAACAAUUAGGUUAAAACUUGCGCUAUGUCACGAGGUUGUUGUUAAAACAAAAGCUUCAUCAUCAAUUGACAUCGUACCAAAUCAACACAGAACUUCAACCUCGUCCCAAAUUUCCUUUCAAACCGCACAUAUCGAGAGCUAUUGAAGCCACAUAAUAUGUACAUCAAACUUCCCAGCCAUAACAUCUAAAUCACUUUGCAUGAGAAACUUCUCACUGUAGGAAUUAGGCAAGGUUCACAAGAAAUAUUAGAAUGGGUGAGAUUAAGCCAGAGAGAGAUGGGUCGAAUCCAGAAUUGAGAUUCUCUAAAACAGCGAGACCAGAGUAAAGCUCUUCGAGCUUGGUUCUUAUGAGUUGCAAGGUCGUGGUCCUUACACCGGAGUCUGUCGAUGGUCAUUGGACCGAUCAAUCUACUGUGCUCUCAAUCAUAGAUUGUUCAAUUUUGGCUUUGUCGAUUGGGGUGUUUAAUUUUACGGUUUGUUGUGUUCAGUUUUGAAAUCGGGUUGAAAUAAGGUUUAGUUUGGUUAAUAGAAUUCUUUAGUUGGUUAAGAAAAUAUUAAACCAACAAUAAACCUCAUCAACUUUGAUUAAUGGGGCAAUAGAUGAUAUUCGAUACUUUGAGGAGGAAAUAGCAAUAGAACUUUGGAUUUGGGUGGAAAUAAGUUUAGAAUUAUCGAUUCCGGGAUAUAUUUAACGAGGUUGAAGUUCUACGUAGAUCUGAUAUGAUGCCAUACUUCUCGGUGAGAAAUAGGACGUCGAUCCUCAAUAACCUAAAGAAAAUUUCAAGACUUUCUUCCAAAAAAUUUCAAACAUACACAAGAACUUUUCAACUUUUUUUUCUCCAGUUUAAUACUUGUGUAAGUAUUUUUAUAAUUAAUAUUUUUCUUGAUAAAAUAAAUUUUUUUAUUGUGUUGUGUAACGCCCGUGUUCUGGAAAAUAAUAGGAGACUUGAGUGUGUAUAAGAAGUUUAAUUCCGGUUGAUUUCCUAGGAGACUUGAGGGUGGAGUCGGUUUAAUUCCGGUUGAUUUCCUAAACUGGUCGAUUUGUCAAUUGAAUCAAAAGAAGUUUAAUUAAUGUUGGUUUAGUUAAAUCCUGGUUUAAUCAGAUUAAACCAAAAACCCUAUUUUUAUAAGGAACGCCUCUUCUCUCUUUUGUUUUGUCACUGCUUGUUUCUGAGAAUUUAGUUUGAGAAAAUGAGAAUGAGAAGUUCACUUGUGAAAAGGAGAGGGUUAGCUUUGCUUUGGUGUUUAAGGCAAGGGAAGCAGAUUCGUCACGUCUUGGUAUAAUAGAGUUACGACGUAUCAAAUCUUAUCGAAAGGUAACGAAAUUUGGUAGGUUUGCUAUUAAGGCGUGUAGGUUGAUUUUCCUUUUUACAGAAGUGAAUUACGAUUUAAAAUCAGUGAGUUUUAUGCAGUUUGGUGAGACGCUUCUUCUCUAUUGCGAUCUAGGAUCAGCGGAGUUUGUAAGUGCGAUCGUGGUUUCAUCGUUUCUUUGAUCGGCAGUUUUGUGGGAAGCUUAGUGACGUCUAGGUCUUGCUUUCAACCGAAGGGAUUCAGAAGUUAACGGUUGGUUUCUGGUUUAGGGCUUCGUUUCGGCGGCUGUAAUUUUUCUGUUGUUUCUGUCCAUUUUGGUUUACAGAGAUUUUGUUUCUGUGGAUUGUUGUAGGGCGUUGUUUGGCUGUUGCAGUCGCGAACAGAGUCUUUUCUGGUUGUAUUCGUUAUUCAAAUCACCUUGUUAAGGUGAGUGCGUGACCAUGAGCUUAUCUAAGCGAUUGAGAUUGAGGGACCUGUUUAUGAUGAUUUGUAGGUGAAUUGGAAGUAUUAUUGGAUGUUUAGCUUGCAGAAUGGUUUGUUUAUGUUAUAUUUGUGGGUGUUAUCUCAUUGCUUGUGUGUAUAGCUCGUAGAUGGGAAGAUCGCCCUCACUAAGUAUUUAUGAAACACUUAUGCAUCUCAUUGUGUUUGUGGUGCAGGUAAAGUGUGACGUGGAAUCAUGGCGAGGACAGGAGGAUGAUCUAGGGGCUCGUUGGUGUUCUUGAAUUAUUGUUGGAAUUUUUAGGUUAUUAGACUGGAAUUUAGAAGCAUGAUAGGGUGAUUGUGUUUCUGAAAUAGUUGUUGAUUGGUUUGGUUUAAUGGAAUUGUUUGGUUUAAUUUAUUAUUAUUAAUUAGGGUCGGUUUAGCUGGUUUAGUGGUUUAAAUUGAUUAGGAUCGGUUUAACUGGUUUUGAAUUUAUUGGGUUAAUCCGGUUUGCAUGUUAAAAGAAAAAAAUGGGAUGGAUUCUUUCAAUUUGGUAUCAGAGCCCUUACGGUUCUAGGUGAUGAUUUGUAGGUGAACUGGAAGUGUUAUUGGAUGUUUAGCUUGCUGGAUGGUUUGUUUAUGUUAUAUAUGUUGAUGUUAUCUCAUUGCUUGUUUGUAUAGCUCGUAGAUGGGAGGAUCGCCCUCACUAAGUAUUUAUGAAAUACUUAUGAAUCUCUUUCUGUGAUGCAGGUAAAGAAAAAGUGUGAUCCGUGGAAUCAUGGCGAGGAGAGGAGAAUGAUCUAGGGGCUCGUUGGUGUUCUUGAAUUAUUGUUGGAAUUGUUUGGUUUAAUUGAUUUAAAUUAAUUAGGGCCGGUUUAGCUGGUUUGAGUUGAUUAGGUUAAUCCGGUUUGCAUGUUAAAAGAAAAAACGGGAUGGGUUCUUUCAAUUUGGUAUCAGAGCCCUUACGGUUCUAGGGCGAGAGUAAACUGGUGAUUUUUUUUAAUGUGAUGUGUGAAUUUUGUUUAUGAGAAAUGAUGAUGUGGAUUGCAUGCUGAUUGAUUUGUGUGUUUAAUCAAUUGUGUGAACAUGAAUUCCUAGAUCAUCCUCUUGAGCCUUUAAUUAGAUUCCACGGUAAGUUGUGAUGUUUUGUCUUUUCCAUGGAAGGGCGGGUUGUGAUGUUGUGGAGGUCAGUUGGUAACAGCUUCCAUGGUGGGAAGGUUGUUAAAGGGUGAGGUCUUGGGUUCGAGGAACGCCAAGCGCACCAAUAACUUACCUGGUGGGCCAGAGAGCUGCGGGCCAGAAGACUACGCAGAUUGGGCCCACAUGAGAGAGGUUAGGGUCGAUGCGCUGCAGCGCUGUAAGAUUCCCAUGUGGCGGGGUGUGCCAUGUGGCGGAGUGUCCCACUGGACAAGUUGUUACAUUAAAAGUCGACUUUUAUGUAACAACCGGCCCCGUGGGACACUCCGCCACAUGGCACACUCCACCACAUGGCAACCUUACAGCGCUGUAGCACAUCGACCCUAACCUCUCUCCUAUGGGCCCAAUCUGGCAUGUAGGCUCUCUUGUGGCCCACAUGCCCUCAUGGCCACCAGGUAUCUUUAUAUAUAAAUUAGCAUUUUCACAUUUGAAAAUAAACAAAAAAUGAAAAAUAGACCUAAAGUUAUUUUCGGUCACCUAUUCGACUACUUUACAAUAAAAAUGGGCCCCAUAAUUUUAGAAUAGUUUUUAAGAAGUAAACGGCCUUUGCGCCGCUGCCCCUUUAUCCAACCUAGUUGAGCGAGACAUGUAUAUACUUCUUGCUGUAGCGUUUUUCUCGUAGACCUAUAUUUAUAGAACAUAAAGUUUUUUGUGAUUGUCAAAAAGAAGUUUACAAUUGGUGGAUCUUCCAUAUAUAUUAAUAAAUUUUUAUUUUGACACACAAAUAUUUUUAUAUAGAUUGGUGCAUGUAUAUGGAUCUUCACAUAAACUAAAUAAUAUUUUUAGUCGAACUAAAGAGAUUUUCUUCUUAAUUAUUUUAUUUUUUCAAAAGCAAGGUUGACUCUGAUCAUAUACCAUAUCAAAUUACGCUAAAGAAUCGGGUUCAGAGAAUAGCUAAGACAUUUUGUUUGAAAUAAAAUGGUUUAUUAUUAUAUAUAUUUUUUAAUAACUAUUGAUGUACUCAGCUCUGGCUCAAGAAAUUAGAAUCCCCUUGGGCGAAAAAUGUUUUUGGCCUUUUAUCUAAUUUAUGCUAAAGAAAUUCAAUUUUUGGGCCUAUAAAACAUGAUUUUUAAGAUAUCUUUAUAUAUAAAUUAGCAUUUUCACAUUUGAAAAAAACAAAAAAUGAAAAAUAGACCUAAAGUUAUUUUCGGUCACCUAUUCGACUACUUUACAAUAAAAAUGGGUCCCAUAAUCUUAGAAUAGUUUUUAGAAGUAAACGGCCUUUGCACCGCUGCCCCCUUGUCCAACCUAAUUGAGCCAGACCUGUAUAUACUUCUUGAUGUAGCGUUUCUCAUGCCAACGGGACUAAUGGCCAUAACCACCUUAUCAACUUCAUUUAUUCUUGUGACUAUGACCAACUUGUCUACCAUCUCCCAUCGUGGAAAUCUGUUAGACAAACUUUGAUAUCACAUGUGUUAACUAGCUUAUUAGCGUUUGCUUCAAAGCUCUCUUGGGUUAUUUUUUAACUCAUAUUAUCUAUCUUGAGAUGCCUUGCUUCUUUUUGUUCUUAAACUUUGGAUUUAUGUAUCCUUCUCUUUGUACUAAUAUUUAUGAUUUAUGAAUCAAGUUUUUGGCCCAAAAAUUUUUUUUAAAUAUAUUAGAAUCUAAUCUUAAAAUUGCAAAUAACGACUUGGUACUUUGCUAUACUAUCGCAAGGAGAAACUUUAUCAUAAUACCAUCCAAAAAAUAACAAAACUGAUAAUUGGUUUCGAUUUUAUAAUAGGUAAAAUCAUUUGUAAACGUAACAAAUAGUUCACCUUAAGGAAUUUCUUUUUGCAUUUUCUUUAUCUUUAAUUGUUACCAAACCUAAAUCCAAACAAAUUUUAACAACUGAAAUCAUAUAUACCUCCUCAUUUUCUCCGCUUUAAACAACUGAAAUCGCAAUAAAAGAACUGUAUGGUGAUUGUAGUUCAGACUUUUGAUUAAGAAACUAUAAUUGUUAAACAAUUUUAUACUUUCUCAUUUAAUUUAUAUUUGUAGCAAAACAACAAAAGAAAGAAAAAAACGUAUGAAUGCAAAUACAAGACUGGUUUCUAUGACUUGGUGCAACAACAUUUUUUUCCGAAAGAAGUAGCACAUCUCCCAUAUGUGAACCCAGCCUUCCUACAAUCCGCCGCACAUUUACAAUCACCUUAUGUCGGCGAACAAGUGUUCUUGCACAUAUCAUCAAUUCUCCCAGAAGGUUUGAUCUCUGCAUGUCCACAAAGUCACCACAUAUGAAUAUCAUAUAUAAUCAUAUCGACGUUCUUGCUUUGAAACGAUGAAACCUAAUCAGAAAACAUUACCAGAAGCCAAGAUUUUCUAACUGGACAAAGAAGCUGCAAUUAUAAUCAAGAGUAAGAAAGUCAUCAAAGUCUUGGUGUUGCCCAUUUUCUUGCUUGAAGUAUCAAACUAUAAAGUCUAUUUACAAAAUAUAUUAUGUGAGUUUCUAGAUUAUAAGUAGAACCUAUAUUUAUAGAACAUUAAGGUUUUUGUGAUUGUCAACAAAAAGUUUACAAUUGAUGGAUCUUCCAUAUAUAUUAAUAAAUUUGAAUUUUGACUAACAAAUAUUUAUAUAUAUAUACAUUGGUGCAUGUAUAUGGAUCUUCCUAUAUAAUAAAUAUUAUUUUUACUCUGAGCAAAGAGAUUUUUUUCUUGAUUAUUUUUUGUUUUCAAAAACAACGUUGACCCGGAUCAUAUAUAAUAUCGAAUUAGGUUAAAGAACCGUGUUCAGAGAAUAGCUAAGAUAUUUUGUUUAAAAUUAAAUGGUUUCUUAGUUAUGAUUUAUUUUCUUUUUUGACAACUCUUGAUGUGCGAAUUCUGGCUUAUGUACUCAGCCAUGGCUCAAUAAAUUAGAAUGCCCUUGGGAACAAAAUGGUUUUGACCUUUUCUCUAAUUUAUGCUAAAGAAAUUCAAAUAUUUGUGUCCAUAAAACAUGUCUUAAAGAUAUUUUUAUACACAAAUUGGAAUUUCCACAUUUGAAAAGAAAAAAAAUUAAAAAUGGACCUAAUGAUUUUUUUGGUCACCUAUUAUACUACUUUACAAUAUUAUUGGUCCCUAUAAUCUUAGAAUAGUUCUUAAAAAUUAAACGGGCUUUACGCUGUUACCC
This 63291-nucleotide long non-coding RNA is filed under the name Capsella rubella. RNAcentral describes it as "long non-coding RNA (CRUB_LNC004911)". Lineage: Eukaryota; Viridiplantae; Streptophyta; Magnoliopsida; Brassicales; Brassicaceae. The record is from RNAcentral.